UUAUUCAUGCUAUAGCUGUAUUAUCCGGAAAUCGUAAUACUCGUGUGAAUACAUAGACCAUAACAUGUCCCUAGUGAGCCUCUAGUUGACUAGCUCGUUGGUCAACAGAUAGUCAUGGUUUCCUGACUAUGGACAUUAGAUGUCAUUGACAACGGGAUCGCAUCAUUAGGAGAAUGAUGUGAUGGACAAGACCCAAUGCUAAGCAUAGCACAAGAUCGUGUAGUUCGUUUUGCUAGAGCUUUUCCAAUGUCAAGUAUCUCUUCCUUAGACCAUGAGAUCGUGUAACUCCCGGAUACCGUAGGAGUGCUUUGGGUGUACCAAACGUCACAACGUAACUGGGUGACUAUAAAGGUGCACUACAGGUAUCUCCGAAAGUGUCUGUUGGGUUGACACGGAUCGAGGCUGGGAUUUGUCACUCCGUAUGACGGAGAGGUAUCACUGGGCCCACUCGGUAGUGCAUCAUCAUAAUGAGCUCAAAGUGACCAAGUGUUUGGUCACGGGAUCAUGCAUUACGGUACGAGUAAAGUGACUUGCCGGUAACGAGACUAACGAGGUAUUGGGAUACCGACGAUCGAGUCUCGGGCAAGUAACAUACCGUCUGACAAAGGGAAUUGCAUACGGGGUUGAUUGAAUCCUCGACAUCGUGGUUCAUCCGAUGACAUCAUCGAGGAGCAUGUGGGAGCCAACAUGGGUAUCCAGAUCCCGCUGUUGGUUAUUGACCGAAGAGCCGUCUCGGUCAUGUCUGCAUGUCUCCCGAACCCGUAGGGUCUACACACUUAAGGUUCGGCGACGCUAGGGUUAUUAGGAUGACUUGUAUGUGAUUACCGAAAGUUGUUUGGAGUCCCGGAUGGGAUCCCGGACGUCACGAGGAGUUCCGGAAUGGUCCGGAGGUAAAGAUUUAUAUAUGGGAAGUUGUCAUACGGACGCCGGAAGGUUUCGGGGGCAUAUCGGUAUUGUACCGGGGCCACGGGAAGGGUUCCGGGGGUCCACCCCUCCCGGGGGGCCACAUGGGCCGCGUGGGGCAGGAGCCAGCCCCUGGAGGGCUGGGCGCCCCCCCCUUGGGCCCAUGCGCCUAGGGUUGGGGGGGGAACCCUAGAGGGGGCGCCCCCCUUGCUUGGGGGGCAAGUCCCCCCUCCCUGGCCGCCGCCCCCCUCUAGAUCCCAUCUAGAGGGGCCGGCCCCCCUUGCCCCUUCCCCUAUAAAUAGAGGGGUGAGGGGAGGGCUGAACACCCAAGCCAAGGCGCAGCCCCUCCCCUCCCCAACACCUCUCCUCCUCCGUUGUGUGCUUGGCGAAGCCCUGUUGGAGUACUGCCUCACCACCAUCAUCACGCCAUCGUGCUGCUGCUGGAGCCUUCCUCCUCAACCUCUCCUUCCCCCUUGCUGGAUCAAGAAGGAGGAGACGUCGCCCGUACCAUAGGUGUGUUGAACGCGGAGGUGCUGUCCGUUCAGCACUUGGUCAUCGGUGAUCUGAAUCACGGCGAGUACGACUCCAUCAUCACCGUUCCCUCGAACGCUUCCGUACGCGAUCUACAAGUGGUAUGUAGAUGCAAACUCACUCCCUUGACUCGUUGCUUAGAUGAACUCAUAGAUGGAUGUUGGUGAAACCGUAGGAAAUUUUUUAAUUUCUGCAACGUUCCCCAACACAGAUCUGAAAUCAUGGCACUCGGGCCCUAGUGACAAGCAUUAAGCAUAGCAAAGUCAUAGCAACAUCAAUCUCAGACCAUAGUGGAUACUAGGGAUCAAACCCUAACAAAACUAACUUGAUUACAUGGUAAAUCGCAUCCAACCCAUCACCGUCCAGCAAGCCUACGAUGGAAUUACUCACGCACGACGGUGAGCAUCAUGAAAUUGGUGAUGGAGGAUGGUUGAUGAUGACGACGAUGAUGAAUCCCCCUCUCCGGAGCCCCGAACGGACUCCAGAUCAGCCCUCCCGAGAGAGAUUAGGGCUUGGCAGCGGCUCCGUGUCAUGAAACGCGAUGAAACUUUCUCCUUGAUUUUUUUCUCCCCAAGACGGUAUAUAUGGAGUUGGAGUUGAGGUCGGAGGAGGUCCGGGGGGCCCACGAGAUAGGAGGGCGCGCCCCUAGGGGGGGUGGGCGCCCCCUGUCUCGUGGACAGCCCGUGGGCCCCCUGACCUUGAUUCUUUCGCCAAAAAUUCUUAUUAAAUCUGAAAAGUGCCUCCGUGGAUUUCCAGGACAUUCCGAGAACUUUUCUUUUCUACACAUAAAACAACAUCAUGGCAGUUCUACUGAAAACAGCGUCAGUCCGGGUUAGUUUCAUUCAAAUCAUGCAAGUUAGAGUCCAAAACAAGGGCAAAAGUGUUUGGAAAAGUAGAUACGUUGGAGACGUAUCAACUCCCCCAAGCUUAAACCUUUGCUUGUCCUCAAGCAAUUCAGUUGACAAACUAAAAGUGAUAAAGAAAAAGUUUUACAAACUCUGUUUGCUCUUGUUGUUGUAAACAUGAAAAGCCAGCAUUCAAGUUUCAACAAAUAUUAUGAACUAAGCAUACUCACAAUAACACAUUGGUCUCACAAUUACUCAUAUCAAUAGCAUAAUCAGCUAGCGAGUCAUAAUAAUAAAACUCGAAUGACAACACUUUCUCAAAAUAAUCAUAACAUGAUAUAACAAAAUGAUAUCUCGCUAGCCCUUUCUGAGACCGCAAAACAUAAAUGCAGAGCACCUUUAAAGAUCAAGGACUGACUAAACAUUGUAAUUCAUGGUAAAAGAGAUCCAGUCAAGUCAUACCCAAUAUAAACCAAUAAUAAUGAAUGCAAAUGACAGUGUGCUCUCCAGUGGGUGCUUUUAAUAAGAAAGAUGAUGACUCAACAUAAAAGUAAAUAGAUAGGCCCUACGCAGAGGGAAGCAGGGAUUUGUAGAGGUGCCAGAGCUCGAUUUUAAAAUAGAGAUUGAAUAACAUUUUGAGCGGCAUACUUUCGCUAUCAACGCAACAACUAUGAGAUGGUUGUAUCUUCCAUACUACAUGCAUUAUAGGCAGUUCCCAAACAUAAUGGUAAAGGUUUAUACUCCCCCAACCACCAACAAGCAUCAAUCCAUGGCUUCUCGAAACAACGAGUGCCUCCAACAUACCACAACCCUGGGGGAGUUCUGUUUAAUUAUUUUGAUUUGCUUUGAUCUUUUUGGAUCAUGGGACUAGGCAUCCCGGUUACCGGCCCCUUUCUCGUGAAUGAGGAGUGGAGUCCAUUCCUCGUGAGAAUAACCCGCCUAGCAUGGAAGAUAUAGGCAUCCCUAGUUGAAACAUGAGCUGCUCGAGCAUACAAAACAGAAUUUCAUUUGAAGGUUUGGAGUUUGGCACAUACAAAUUUACUUGGAAUGGCAGGUAGAUACCGCAUAUAGGAAGGUAUAGUGGACUCAUAUGGAACAACUUUGGGGUUUAAGGAGUUUGGAUGCACAAGCAGUAUUCCCACUUAGUACAGGUGAAGGCUAGCAAAAGACUGGGAAGCGACCAACUGAGAGAGCGAUAACAGUCAUAAGCAUGCAUUAAAAUUAACUCACACCGGAUACAAGCAUGAGUAGGAUAUAAUCCACCAUGAACAUAAAUAUCGUGAAGGCUAUGUUGAUUUGAUUCAACUACAUGCGUGAACAUGUGCCAAGUCGAGUCACUCAAUUCAUUCAAAGGAGGAUACCACCCCAUCAUAUCACAUCAUAAUCAUUCUAAUAGCACAUUGGCACGCAAGGUAAACCAUUAUAACUCAUAGCUAAUCAAGCAUUGCACAAGCAACUAUAAUCUCUAAAUGUCAUUGCAAAUAUGUUUACUUCAUAAUAGCUGACUCAGGAACGAUGGAUCAUCAUAUUUACAAAAACAAGAGAGGUCGAGUUCAUACCAGCUUUUCUCAUUGAAGGAAAUAUGCCCUAGAGGCAAUAAUAAAGUUAUUAUUUAUUUCCUUAUUUCAUGAUAAAUGUUUAUUAUUCAUGCUAGAAUUGUAUUAACCGGAAACAUAAUACAUGUGUGAAUACAUAGACAAACAUAGUGUCACUAGUAUGCCUCUACUUGACUAGCUCGUUAAUCAAAGAUGGUUAAGUUUCCUAACCAUAGACAUGAGUUGUCAUUUGAUUAACGGGAUCACAUCAUUAGAAGAAUGAUGUGAUUGACAUGACCCAUUCUGUUAGCUCAGCACACGAUUGUUUAGUAUAUUGCUAUUGCUUUAUUCAUGACUUAUACAUGUUCCUAUGACUAUGAGAUUAUGCAACUCCCGUUUACUGGAGGAACACUUUGUGUGCUACUAAACUUCACAACGUAACUGGGUGAUUAUAAAGGAGCUCUACAUGUGUCUCUGAAGGUACAUGUUGGGUUUGCGUAUUUCGAGAUUAGGAUUUGUCACUCCGAUUGUCGGAGAGGUAUCUCUGGGCCCUCUCGGUAAUGCACAUCACUAUAAGCCUUGCAAGCAAUGUAGCUAAUGAGUUAGUUACGGAAUGAUGCAUUAUGUAACGAGUAAAGAGACUUGCCGGUAACGAGAUUGAACUAGGUAUUGGAUACCGACGAUCGAAUCUCGGGCAAGUAACACACCGAUGACAAAGGGAACAACGUAUGUUGUUAUGCGGUCUGACCGAUAAAGAUCUUCGUAGAAUAUGUGGGAGCCAAUAUGAGCAUCCAGGUUCCUCUAUUGGUUAUUGACCGGAGACGUGUCUCGGUCAUGUCUACAUAGUUCUCGAACCCGUAGGGUCCGCACGCUUAAGGUUUCGAUGACAGUUAUAUUAUGAGUUUUGAUGUACCGAAGGAGUUCGGAGUCCCGGAUGAGAUCGGGGACAUGACGAGGAGUCUCAAAAUGGUCGAGACGUAAAGAUCGAUAUAUUGGACUACUAUAUUUGGAGUUCGGAAAGGUUCCGAGUGAUUUGGGUAUUUUUCGGAGUACCGGAGAGUUAUGGUAAUUCGCCGGUGAGUAUAUGGGCCUUAUUGGGCUUUAGGGGAAAGAGAGAGGAGAGGCUGGGCGCCCCCCCAAGGCCUAGUCCAAAUUGGACUAGGGGAGGGGCUGCGCCCCCUCCUUCCUUCUCUUCUCUUCCCCCUUUCCUUGACUCCUACUCAUACUACUUGGAAGGGGGGAAUCCUACUCCUGGUGGGAGUAGGACUCCUCCUUGGCGCGCCUCCUCCUGGCCGGCCGCCCCCUCCCCCUUGAUCCUUUAUAUACGAGGACAGGGGGGCACCUCUAGGCACAACAACAAUUGAUCCCUUGGAUCUCUUAGCCAUGUGCGGUGCCCACCUCCACCAUAGUCCACCUCGAUAAUAUCGUAGCGGUGCUUAGGCGAAGCCCUGUGAUGGUAGAACAUCAAGAUUGUCACCACGCCGUCAUGCUGACGGAACUCUCCCUCGACACUCGGCUGGAUCGGAAUUCGAGGGACGUCAUCGAGCUGAACGUGUGCUAGAACUCGGAGGUGCCGUAGUUUCGGUACUUGAUCGGUCGGGCCGUGAAGACGUACGACUACAACAACCACGUUGUUCUAACGCUUCCUCUUUUGGUCUAUGAGGGUACUCUCCCCUCUCGUUGCUAUGCAUCACCACGAUCUUGCGUGUGCGUAGGAGAUUUUUGAAAUUACUACGUUACCCAACACUCAUCCCAAUAAGUCCAUCAUAUAUCAUCAUUAUUGCCUUUCACUUGCACGACCGAAUGAAGUGUAUAAUAAUAAGAGUGCACGUGCAUUGGACUAAGCUGGAAUCUGCAAGCAUUCAACUCAAGAGAUAAGACAAGUAAUAUGGGCUCUAAAUAUAAAUAAUCAAUCAUGCAUAUAAGAGCCACUAAGCAUUUUCAAUAUGGUCUUCUCGACCCCCAGAAUAAAGAAAAGAAAAUAAAACUAUUUACACGAGAAAGCUCCCAACAAGUAAAAGAAGAACGAGAAAUAUUUUUGGGUUUUCAUUUUAAUUUCUACUACAAGCAAGGAAAUUAAACUAACUAAUUUUAUUGUUUUUUCUUAAGGUUUAUCUAACACACAAGAAGAAAACUAGAAAAAGAGAUUUAAACUAACAUGGAUAAUACAAUGAAAGAGUAUGAGCACCGACGACUAGUGUGUGAACAUGAAUGUAAAGUCGGUGAGAAAUACGUACUCCCCCAAUCUUAGGCUUUUGGCCUAAGUUGGUUUAAUACCAAGGACCGCCUGGCUGAUAUCCAUAAGUGAAACUGGGAUUGUACUGAGAUGCAGAGGCAACAGCCUCCUGGGCAGCAGCGUGUUGGCGAGCUACCUCCAUUCCCCUCUCAUAUUCAGUGGCUUCUUCCCUGGUGAUAACAUAUCCUCCUCUUGCCUGAUAAUCAAAAAGGUAGGGGACAGGAAGAGUGACAGGGAUGACGUUGCGUCUAUCAUAGAUUAGUCGAUAAUGGAGGAAUUGUUCAUUCCUCUCAAGAAAUUGAUGAUCAAACAUAGCUUCUUUAUCUAAAUAAGCAGGAGGUACAAUCAUAUCCCCCUCUCGUGGAGCUAUAUUAAGAAAAUUUGCCACACGGGUUGCAUAAAUUCCUCCAAAGAAAUUUCCCCUUUUACUAUUAUUAUGCAACCUACGUGCAACUAUUGCCCCCAAGUUAUAACCUCUGUAACCCGACACAGCACUCUUGAGGACACAAAGAUCAGGGGCACACAAGUGACUUACUUCGUCCUUACCGUUAAUGCAUUUACCAAUAAAGAGAGCAAAGUAAUGUAUAGCAGGAAAAUGAAUGCUCCCUAUGGUAGCUUGUGUUACGUCCCUAGAUUCUCCCACAGUAAUACUAGCAAGAAAAUUUCUAACUUCAGAUUUGGGAGGAUCAUUAAUAUUACCCCACUGCGGGAGUUUGCAAGCAGUUGUGAAAUCCUCUAAAUCCAUGGUAUAAGAUGUAUCAUAAAUAUCAAACAUAACACUAGGAGAAUUACGCGAAGAAAUAUAUUCGAACCUCCGCACAAAGGAAUCAGUCAAUUGAUAAUAUUGAGGACACUUAUCUUGUAAGAAGUCCUCCAGCUCGGCAUUACGCACAUACGCGUCAAAUUCCUCCUUGAAGCCUAUUUCGACCAUGAAAUCAUCAGAUGGCCACUCGCAAGCCCGUACAUUUGCGUCCCUUGGCAAGUUAACAUCUUGUUCACGUAUAGCAAUCUAGGCCCUUUCUUUGCCGAGGAACCUCCUUGGUACAUUCUUCUAAGCAUAUUUCUUUUUCUGAAAAAAUCUGAAAUUUUAGUAACUUCAAAAUAAAAGUGAAUAAAACUAAACAAGAUUGAUAGCAACUACUCCUACAAGUGCCUAGAGCCUAUAUCAUGCAUUGGAAUUGCUUGGGACCUCAAAAAUUUAACAUGCAAGCUCAAGAACAUGGUCACCUAAGCAGCAAAAAUUUGCAACGAAUAAAGCACUAGAACAAAAACUAAUUGGACCAAUGGAGGAGUCACAUACCAAGCAACAAUCCCCCAAAGCAGUUUUGCAAAUGGAGCUUUGAGCUAAGAGAUCGAAAAUCGCAGCAAAACGAGUUAGAACUCGGGCUUGAGCUGGAUGGGGAUUUUUUUUGGGUAGAAGAUGAAGUGUGUGGGUGCUGGCAUAAGUGGAGGGGAGUCACCAGGGGCCCACGAGACAGGGGGCGCACCCUAUAGGGGGCGCGCGCCCUCGUCUCUCGUGGCCUGGUGCUUGGCCCUCCUGCAGUGUUUUCAGUGCCUAAAAUCCUCAAAUAUUCCAGAAAAAAUCAUACUAAAUUUGCAGGGCAUUUGGAGCAGUUUUAUUUUCGGACUAUUUUUUUAUUGCCCGGAUAAAUCAGAAAACAGACAGAUAAUACUAUUUUUUGCUUUAUUUAUUCUAAAUAACAGAAAGUAAAAAGAGGGUACAGAAGGUUGUGCCUUCUAGUUUCAUCCAUCUCGUGAUCAUCAAAAUGAAUCCACUAACAAGGUUGAUCAAGUCUUGUUAACAAACUCAUUCCGAAUAACAUGGAACCGGAGAAAUUUCGAAUAACACUAAGUUACCUCAACGGGGAUAUGAAAAUCCCCAACAAUAAGAAUAUCAUACUUUUUCUUGACAGUAGGGAGAGGAAAUUCAAAACCUCCAAAAAUGAUAGUUGGAACUUUUUCAAUAGAAUUGAUGCUAUGAACUUGAGAUUGUUUCCUCGGAAAGUGUACCAUAUGCUCAUUACCAUUAACAUGAAAAGUGACAUUGCCUUUGUUGCAAUCAAUAAUAGCCCCUGCAGUAUUAAGAAAAGGUCUACCAAGGAUAAUAGACAUACUAUCGUCCUCGGGAAUAUCAAGAAUAACAAAGUCCGUUAAAAUAGUGACAUUUGCAACCACAACAGGCACAUCCUCAAAAAUACCGACAAGUAUAGCAGUUGAUUUAUUAGCCAUUUGCAAAUAUAUUUCAGUAGGUGUCAACUCAUUCAAUUCAAGUCUACGAUAUAAAGAGAGAGGCAUAACACUAACACCGGCUCCAAGAUCACAUAAAGCAAUUCUAACAUAAUUUCUUUUAAUAGAGCAUGGUAUAGUUGGUACACCCGGAUCUCCAAGUUUCUUUGGUAUUCCACCCUUAAAAGUGUAAUUAGCAAGCAUGGUGGAAAUUUCAGCUUCCGGUAUCUUUCUUUUAUUCGUGAUGAUAUCCUUCAUAUAUUUAGCAUAAGGAUUUACUUUCAGCAUAUCAGUUAAGCGCAUACGUAGGAAAAUAGGUCUAAUCAUUUCAGCAAAGCGAUCAAAAUCCUCAUCAUCCUUUGACUUGGAUGGUUUAGGAGGAAAGGGCAUGGGUUUCUAAACCCAUGGUUCUCUUUCUUUACCAUGCUGCCUAGCAACAAAAUAUCUCUUAUCAUAACGUUGAUUCUUUGAUUGUGGGUUAUCAAGAUCAACAACAGGUUCAAUCUCUACAUCAUUAUCUUGGCUAGGUUGAGCAUCAACGUGAACAUUAUCAUUAACAUUAUUACUAGGUUCAUGUUCAUCACCUGAUUGUGUUUCAGCAUCAGAAAUAGAAAUAUGAUUGGGAUUCUCAGGUGUGUCUAUAGUAGGUUCACUAGAAGCAUGUAAGGUUCUAUCGUUUUUCUUCUUCUUCUUCUUAGAAGAACUAGGUGCCUCUAAAUUAUUUCUCUGAAAAUCUUGCUCAAUUCUCUUAGGGUGGCCUUCAGGAUACAAAGGUUCCUGAGUCAUUCUACCAGUUCUAGUAGCCAUUCUAACAGCAAAGUCAUUUUUAUUAUUCAAUUCAUCAAGCAAAUCGUUUUGAGCUUUGAGUACUUGAUCAGCUUGAGUAGCAACCAUAGAAGCAUAUUUGCUAACACGGUGAAGUUCAUCUUUAACUCUAGCCAGAUUAUCACUUACGCGUCCUAUCUCGAAAGCAUUAUUCUUUAACUCUCUACCAACAUAAGCAUUAAAAAUUUCUUUUCUAGCCAUAAAGUCAUCAAAUUCAUCUAAGCAUGGGCUAUGAAAUUUAGUAGAGGGUAUUUCAACUUUAUCGUAUCUAUAGAGAGAAUUUACCUUCACUACCUAUGUCGGGUUAUCAAGACAAUGUAGUUCUUCAGACGGUAUAUUCAGACCAUGUAUUUCUUCAAUAGGAGGUAAAUUCUUAACAUCUUCAGCUUUAAUACCUUUUUCUUUCAUUGAUUUCUUUGCCUCUUGCAUAUCUUCAGGACUGAGAAAUAAAACACCUCUCUUCUUCGAAGUGAGUUUAGGAAUAGGCUCAGGAGUUGGCUCAAUUGGUUCAGGAAUUACUUCAGGAACUGGCUCGGGAAGAGUCCAAUUAUUUUCAUUAGUCAACAUAUUAUUCAAUAGUAUUUCAGCUUUGUCGACUGUUCUUUCCCUGAAAACACAACCAGACAACUAUCCAAGUGGUCCUUGGAAGCAUCGGUUAGUCCAUUAUAAAAGAUAUCAAGUAUUUCAUUUUUCUUAAGAUGAUGAUCAGGCCAAGCAUAAAGUAACCAGAGAAGCCUCCCCCAAGCUUGUGGGAGACUCUCUUCUUUGAUUUGCACAAAAUUAUAUAUUUCCCGCAAGGCAACUUGUUUCUUAUGAGCAGGGAAAUAUUUAGCAGAGAAGUAAUAAAUCAUAUCCUGGGGACUACGCACACAACCAGGAGCAAGAGAAUUAUACCAAGUCUUAGCAUCACCCUUUAAUGAGAACGGAAAUAUCUUAAGGAUAUAUAAAUAGCAAGACUUCUCAUCAUGAGUAAAUAGAGUGGCUAUAUCAUUCAACUUGGUAAGAUGUGCCACAACAGUUUCAGAUUCAAGGCCAUAAAAAGGAUCAGAUUCAACUAAAGUAAUAAUAUCAGGAUCAACAGAGAAUUCAUAAUCCUUAUCAGUAACACAGAUAGGUGAAGUGGCAAAAGUAGGAUCGGAUUUCAUUCAAGCAUUAAGAGACUGAUGCUUCCAUUUAGCUAAUAAUUUCUUAAGAUCAGAUCUAUCAUUGCAAGUAAGAAUUUCCAUAGCAGCUUUUUCAUUCAUAACAUAACCCUUAGGAACAACGGGUAAUACAUAAUCAUUGGGGGAACGUUCAUCAUCACUAUCAUCAAUAGCAUCUUCAAUAUUUUCAUUCCCCCUAACUCUAGCAAGUUGUUCAUCAAGAAAUUCACCUAAUGGCAAAGUAGUAUCACGCACAGAAGUAGUUUCAUCAUGCAUAGCAGAAGUGGCAUCAUCAAUAACAUGCGACAUAUCAGAAUUCAUAGCAGUAGCAGGUUUAGGUGUCGCAAGCCUACUAAUAACGGAAGGAGAAUCUAGUGCAGAGCUAGAUGGCAGUUCCUUACCUCCCCAUGUAGUUGAGGGAUAGAUCUUGGUCUUAGCGUCUUUCAAGUUCUUCAUAGUGAUCAACAGAUAUAAAACCCAAGUGACUCAGAGAAUAGAGCUAUGCUCCCCGGCAACGGCGCCAGAAAUUAGUCUUGAUAACCCACAAGUGUAGGGGAUCGCAACAACUUUCGAGGGUGAAGUACAACCCAAAUUUAUUGAUUCGACACAAGGGGAGCCAAAGAAUAUUCUUGAGUAUUAGCAGUUGAGUUGUAGAUUCAACCACACCUGGAUAACUUAGUAUCUGCAGCAAAGUAUUUAGUAGCAAGAGUGGUAUGAUAGUAAUGGUAACAGUAGCAAUAGAAAAGGUAAAUGUUUUUGGGUUUUUGUAGUAGUUGUAACGGUAGCAACAGAAAAGUGAAUAAGCGAAGAACAAUAUAUGAAAAGCUCGUAGGCAAUGGAUCAGUGAUGGAUAAUUAUGCCGGAUGCGAUUCCUCAUGCAAUAGUUAUAACAUAGGGUGAUAUAGAACUAGCUCCAAUUCAUCAAUGUAAUGUAGGCAUGUAUUCCGUAAAUAGUCAUACGUGCUUCUGGAAAAGAACUUGCAUGACAUCUUUUGUCCUACCCUCCCGUAGCAGUGGGGUCCUAGUGGAAACUAAGGGAUAUUAAGGCCUCCUUUUAAUAGAGAACCGGACCAAAGCAUUAACACAUAGUGAAUACAUGAACUCCUCAAACUACGGUCAUCACCGAGAAGUAUCCCGAUUAUUGUCACUUCGGGGUUGUCGGAUCAUAACACAUAAUAGGUGACUAUAGACUUGCAAGAUAGGAUCAAGAACACACAUAUAUUCAUGAAAACAUAAUAGGUUCAGAUCUGAAAUCAUGGCACUUGGGCCCUAGUGACAAGCAUUAAGCAUAGCAAAGUCAUAGAACAUCAAUCUCAGAACAUAGUGGAUACUAGGGAUCAAACCCUAACAAAACUAACUUGAUUACAUGGUAAAUCUCAUCCAACCCAUCACCGUCCAGCAAGCCUACGAUGGAAUUACUCACGCAUGGCGGUGAGCAUCAUGAAAUUGGUGAUGGAGGAUGGUUGAUGAUGACGACGGCGACGAAUCCCCCUCUCCGGAGCCCCAAACGGACUCCAGAUCAGCCCUCCCGAGAGAGAUUAGGGCUUGGCGGCGGCUCCGUGUUGUGAAACGCGAUGAAACUUUCUCCUUGAUUUUUUCUCCCCGAGACGGUAUAUAUGGAGUUGGAGUUGAGGUCGGAGGAGGUCCGGGGGGCCCACGAGAUAGGAGGGUGCGCCCCUAGGGGGGGGGGGCGCCCCCUGUCUCAUGGACAGCCCGUGGGCCCCCUGACCUUGAUUCUUUCGCCAAAAAUUCUUAUUAAAUCUGAAAAGUGCCUCCGUGGAUUUCCAGGACAUUCCGAGAACUUUUGUUUUCUACACAUAAAACAACAUCAUGGCAGUUCUGCUGAAAACAACGUCAGUCCGGGUUAGUUUCAUUCAAACCAUGCAAGUUAGAGUCCAAAAUAAGGGCAAAAGUGUUUGGAAAAGUAGAUACGUUGGAGACGUAUCAGUCAGCCAGAAAAUUCUAGACCCGGUUCCUAAUUAAAAAGAACCAAAUUGUUGAUUCUCCGGACGCCGAGGCUCUAGUAGCCUUUAAACACAACAUUCACGGCGAAUGGCUCGCCCGACACCUCGACCAAGAAAAGGCGAAGUCCAUGGCAUCCCUCACAUCACUUAUGACCCGCUUUUGCGCAGGCGAAGAUAGCUGGCUAGCUCGUAGCAGCAACAGUACCAGCGACCCCGGCACUUCUGAAGCUAGAAACAGCAACGGCAGGCCCCGACGCAAUAAAAAAAACGUCAGAGCUACACUGACAAUGCCGAAGACACGGCGGUCAACGCCAGAUUCAGUGGACCCAAAUCUGAUCAACGGAAGAAGCCAUUCAAAAGGAACAAAAACGGUUCAUCUAGCCUGGACCGAAUACUCGAUCGACCUUGCUAGAUUCAUGGCACCCCUGAUAAGCCUGCCAACCAUACCAACAGAAGUUGUUGGGUCUUUAAACAGGCCUGUAAGUUAAACACCGAACACACAGGGAAAGAGUCGCCCAGCAAGGAUGACGAUGAGGAGCCUCGCCCGCCGAACACAGGGGGACAGAAGAAAUUUUCCCCGGAGGUCAAAACGGUGAACAUGAUAUACGUCACUCACAUCCCCAAGAGGGAGCGCAAGCACACGUUAAGGGACUGAUACGUCCAUUUUGCAUCAUGCUUUUAUAUCGAUAUUUAUUGCAUUAUGGGCUGUUAUUACACAUUAUGUCAUAAUACUUAUGGCUAUUCUCUCUUAUUUUACAAGGUUUAACAUAAAUAGGGAGAAUGCGACAGCUGGGAUUCUGGGCUGGAAAAGGAGCAAAUAUUGGAAACCUAUUCUGCACAGCUCCAAAAGUCCUGAAACUCAACGGAAUCAUUUUUGGAAUUAAUGUGAAUUAUUGAGCGAAAGAAGUACCAGAGGGGGCUCACACCCUGGCCACGAGGGUGGGGGGCACGCCCACCCCUACUGGGCAUGCCUUCCUGCCUCAUGCCCCCCCUGGUGGCCCUCGGUGCCCAUCUUCUGCUAUAUGAAGUCUUUUACCCUGGAAAAAAAUCAUAAGCAAGCUUACGGGACGAAACCCCGCCGCCACGAGGCGGAACCUUGGCGGAACCAAUCUAGGGCUCCCGCGGAGCUGUUUUGCAGGGGGAAACUUCCCUCCAGGAGGGGAAAAUCAUCACCAUCGUCAUCACCAACGAUCCUCUCAUCGGGAGGGGGUCAAUCUCCAUCAGCAUCUUCACAAGCACCAUCUCCUCUGCUCAAACGCUAGUUCAUCUCUUGUAUCCAAUCUUUGUACCCAAACCUCAGAUUGGUACCUGUGGGUUGCUAGUAGUGUUGAUUACUCCUUGUAGUUGAUGCUAAUUUCUUUAUCCGGUGGAAGAUCAUAUGUUCAAAUCCUUAAUACAUAUCAAUACCCCUCUGAUUUUGAACAUGAAUAUGCUUUGUGAGUAGUUACAUUUGUUCAUGAGGACAUGGGAGAAGUCUUGCUAUUAGUAGUCAUGUGAAUUUGGUAUUCGUUCGAUAUUUUGAUGAGAUGUAUGUUAUCUCUCCUCUAGUGGUGUUAUGUGAACGUCGACUACAUGACACUUCACCAUUAUUUGGGCCUAGAGGAAGGCAUUGAGAAGUAAUAAGUAGAUGAUGGGUUGCUAGAGUGACAAAAGCUUAAACCCUAGUUUAUGCGUUGCUUCGUAAGGGGCUGAUUUGGAUCCACUAGUUUCAUGCUAUGGUUAGGUUUACCUUAAUACUUCUUUGGUAGUUGCUGAUGCUUGCAAUAGGGGUUAAUCAUAAGUGGGAUGCUUGUCCAAUAAAGGACAGCACCCAAGCACCGGUCCACCCACAUAUCAAAUUAUCAAAGUAACGAAUGCAAAUCAUAUGAGCGUGAUGAAAACUAGCUUGACGAUAAUUCCCAUGUGUCAUCGGGAGCGCUUUUCUCAUUAUAAGAAAUUGUCCAGGCUUGUCCUUUGCUACAAAAAGGAUUGGGUCACCUUGCUGCACUUUAUUUACUUUCAUUGCUUGUUACCCGUUACAAAUUAUCUUAUCACAAAACUAUCUAUUACCUACAAUUUUAGUGCUUGCAGAGAAUACCUUACUGAAAACCGCUUGUCAUUUCCUUCUGCUCCUCGUUGGGUUUGACACUCUUACUUAUCGAAAGGACUAUGAUAGAUAUCCUAUACUUGUGGGUCAUCAAGACUCUUUUCUGGUGCCGUUGCUGGGGAGUGAAGCGCCUUUGGUGAGUGGAACUUGGUAAGGAAACAUUUAUAUAGUGUGCUGAAAUUUACCGUCACUUGUUACUAUUGAAACUAAUCCUUUGAAGGGCUUGUUCGGGGCAUCUUCGCCCCGACCAGUAGAGCAAAGAGUUGCUCCUCAACCUACUGAACCUACUGAAAAUGUUUACUUUGAGAUUCCUUCGGGUAUGAUAGAAAAACUGCUAGAUAAUCCCUUUGCCGGAGAUGGAACAUUGCAUCCCGAUUUACACCUUAUCUAUGUGGAUGAAGUUUGUGGAUUAUUUAGGCUUGCAGGUAUACCCGAUGAUGUUGUUAAGAGGAAGGUCUUCCCUUUAUCUUUGAAGGGAGAUGCAUUGACAUGGUAUAGGCUAUGUGAUGAUACGGGAUCUUGGGACUAUAAACGAUUGAAAUUGGAAUUUCACCAGAAGUUUUAUCCUAUGCAUCUUGUUCAUCGUGAUCAUAAUUAUAUAUAUAAUUUUUGGCCUCGUGAAGGAGAAAGUAUCGCUCAAGCUUGGGGGAGACUUAAGUCAAUGUUAUAUCCAUGCCCCAAUCAUGAGCUCUCAAGAGAAAUGAUUAUUCAAAAAAUUUAUGCUCGUUUUUCUCUCAAUGAUCGCACCAUGAUCGAUACUUCCUGUGUUGGUUCCUAUCUGCUGAAGACUAUUGAAUUCAAGUGGGACUUAUUGAAAAGAAUUAAAUGCAACUCUGAAGAUUGGGGUUCCGAUGAUGGUAAGGAUUCAGGUAUGACACCUAAGUUUGAUUGUGUUAAGUCUUUUAUGGAUACCGAUGAUUUUCAUGGAUUUAGCACUAAAUAUGGAGUUGACUCUGAGAUAGUAACUUCUUUCUGUGAAUCUUUUGCUACUCACGUUGAUCUCCCUAAGGAGAAGUGGUUUAAAUAUAAUCCUCCCAUUGAAGUAAAAGUAGUUGCACCUGUUACAGUUGAAGAAAAGAUUAUCACUUAUAAUGAUCCCAUUGUUCCUACUACUUAUGUCGAGAAACCACCUUUCCUUGUUAGGAUAAAAGGUCAUGCUAAAGCUUCAACUGUUGUUCAUAAGAGUAAUACUAGAACAUAUACACCUCCUGAGAAAAUUAAAUUUGAACCUAGUAUUGCUAUGGUUAAAGAUCUCAUGGCUGAUAAUAUAGAUGGGCAUGUUAUUUCUUCUGUGAGGAAGCUGCUAACAUUGCUAGACCGGAUUCUAAGAUACAUAGACCUGUUGUAGGCAUGCCUGUUAUUUCUGUUAAAAUAGGAGAUCAUUGUUAUCAUGGCUUAUGUGAUAUCGGUGCUAGUGCUAGUGCAAUACCUAUUUCCUUAUACAAACAAAUUAUGCAUGAUAUUGCACCCGCUGAGUUAGAAGAUAUUGAUGUUACAAUUAAGCUUGCCAAUAGAGAUACUAUUUCACCAUUUGGGAUUGUUAGAGAUGUUGAAGUCUUGUGUGGGGAAGUUAAAUAUCCUGCCGAUUUUCUUGUUCUUGGUUCCCCGCAAGAUAGCUUUUGUCCCAUUAUAUUUGGUAGACCCUUCUUGAAUACUGUUAAUGCUAAGAUAGAUUGUGAAAAGGAUGUUGUUACAAUUGGCUUGGGGGAUGUGAAACAUGAGUUUAAUUUUGCCAAGUUCCAUAGACAACCCCAUGAUAAGGAAUUGCCUAGUAAGGAUGAAAUUAUUAGUCUUGCUUCUAUUGCCGUACCUCCUACUGGUCCGUUAGAACAAUAUUUGCUAGACCAUGAAAAUGAUAUGUUUAUGAAUGAAAGAAGGGAAAAUAGAUGAAGUAUUCCUUAAACAGGGUCCUAUUCUGAAACACAACUUGCCUGUUGAAAUCCUAGGGGAUCCUCCACCACCCAAGGGUGAUCCCGUGUUUGAGCUUAAACCGUUACCUGAUACUUUUAAAUAUGCUUAUCUUGAUGAAAAGAAGAUAUAUCCUGUUAUUAUUAGUGCUAACCUUUCAGAGCAGGAAGAGGAAAGAUUAUUGAAAACUCUGAAGAAGCAUAGUGCUACUAUUGGAUAUACUCUUGAUGAUCUUAAGGGCUUUAGUCCCACUCUAUGCCAACACAAAAUUAAAUUGGACGAAGACGCCGAACUAGUUAGAGAUCAUCAAUGACGGUUAAAUCCUAAGAUGAAAGAAGUGGUACGAAAGGAAAUACUAAAGCUCCUCGAGGCAGGUAUAAUUUAUCCCGUUGCUGAUAGUCAGUGGGUAAGUCCUGUCCAUUGUGUCCCUAAGAAGGGAGGUAUUACUGUUGUUACUAAUGAUAAAGAUGAAUUGAUUCCGCAAAGAAUUAUCACAGGUUAUAGGAUGGUAAUUGAUUUCCGCAAAUUAAAUAAAGCUACUAAGAAAGAUCAUUACCCUUUACCUUUUAUUGAUCAAAUGCUAGAAAGACUAUCCAAACAUACACAUUUCUGCUUUCUAGAUGGUUAUUCUGGUUUCUCUCAAAUACCUGUGUCAGCGAACGAUCAAGCAAAGACUACUUUUACUUGCCCUUUCGGUACUUUUGCUUAUAGACGUAUGCCUUUUGGUCUAAGUAAUGCACCUACUACCUUUAAAAGAUGCAUGAUGGCUAUAUUAUCUAACUUUUGUGAAAAGAUUUGUGAGGUAUUCAUGGAUGAUUUCUCUGUUUAUGGAUCCUCUUUUCAUGAUUGCCUGAGCAACUUUGAUCAAGUUUUGCAGAGAUGCGAAGACACUAGUCUCGUCUUGAAUUGGGAGAAGUGCCACUUUAUGGUUAAUGAAGGCAUUGUCUUGGGGCAUAAGAUUUCUGAAAGAGGUAUUGAAGUUGAUAAAGCUAACGUUGAUGCUAUUGAAAGGAUGCCGUGUCCCAAGGACAUUAAAGGUAUACGAAGUUUCCUUGGUCAUGCCGGUUUUUAUAGGAGGUUCAUUAAGGUCCUUUUUAAAAUCUCUAGGCCUCUGACUAAUCUAUUGCAAAAAGAUAUUCCUUUUGUCUUCGAUGAUGAUUGUGUAGAAGCAUUUGAAAUACUUAAGAAAGCAUUGAUUUCUGCACCUAUUGUUCAGCCACCUGAUUGGAAUUUACCCUUUUAAAUUAUGUGUGAUGCUAGUGAUUAUGCUAUAGGUGCAGUGCUAGGGCAAAGAAUUGAUAAGAAAUUAAAUGUUAUUCAAUAUGCUAGUAAAACUCUAGACACUGCACAGAGGAAUUAUGCUACUACUGAAAAAGAAUUCUUAGUAGUUGUAUUUGCAUGUGAUAAGUUCACACGUUAUAUUGUUGAUUCUUAAGUAACUAUUCACAGUGAUCAUGCUGCUAUUAAAUAUCUUAUUGAAAAGAAAGAUGCUAAACCUAGAAUUAUUAGAUGGGUUCUCCUACUACAAAAAUUUGAUUUGCAUAUUAUUGAUAGAAAGGGAGCUGAGAACCCCAUUGCAGACAACUUGUCUAGGUUAGAGAAUGUUCUUGAUGACCCACUACCUAUUGAUGAUAGCUUUCCUGAUGAACAAUUAGCUAUCAUAAAUGCUUCUAGUACUGCUCCAUGGUAUGCUGAUUAUGCUAAUUACAUUGUUGCUAAAUUUAUACCACCUAGUUCCACAUACUAGCAAAAGAAAAAGUUCUUUUAUGAUUUAACACAUUACUUCUGGGAUGACCCACACCUUUAUAAAGAAGGAGUAGAUGGUGUUAUUUGACGUUGUGUACCUGAGCAUGAACAGGAACAGAUCCUACGCAAGUGUCACUCCGAGGCAUAUGGAGGACACCACGCUGGAGAUAGAACUGCACAUAAGGUAUUGCAAUCCGGUUUUUAUUGGCCUACUCUCUUCAAAGAUGCCUGUAAGUUUGUCUUCUCUUGUGAUGAAUGUCAAAGAAUUGGUAAUAUUAGUAGACGUCAAGAAAUGCCUAUGAAUUAUUCUCUUCUUAUUGAACCAUUUUAUGUUUGGGGCUUUGAUUAUAUGGGACCUUUUCCUGCCUCUAAUGGUUAUACACAUACUUUAGUUGUUGUUGAUUAUAUUACUAAGUGGGUAGAAGCUAUUCCAACUAGUAGUGCUGAUCAUAACACCUCUAUUAAGAUGCUUAAAGAAGUUAUUUUUUCGAGGUUUGGAGUCCCUAGAUACUUAAUGACUGAUGGUGGUUCACAUUUUAUUCAUGGUGCUUUCCGUAAAAUGCUUGCUAAGUAUGAUGUUAAUCAUAGAAUUGCAUCUCCUUAUCACCCGCAGUCUAGUGGUCAAGUAGAAUUGAGUAAUAGAGAGCUCAAAUUAAUUUUGCAAAAGACUAUUAAUAGAUCUAGAAAUAAUUGGUCCAAGAAACUUGAUGAUGCAUUAUGGGCCUAUAGAACUGCAUAUAAGAAUCAUAUGGGUAUGUCUCCGUAUAAGAUGGUUUAUGGAAAAGCAUGUGACUUACCUCUCGAACUUGAACAUAAGGCAUAUUGGGCUAUUAAAGAGCUCAACUAUGAUUCCAAACUUGUCGGUGAGAAGAGGUUAUUUGAUAUUAGCUCACUUGAUGAAUGGAGAACCCAGGCCUAUGAGAAUGCCAAGGUGUUUAAAGAAAAAGUUAAAAGAUGGCAUGACAAAAGGAUACAAAAGCGUGAGUUUAACGUAGGUGAUUAUGUGUUGCUAUUCAAUUGUCGUUUAAGAUUUUUUGCAGGAAAACUUCUCUCUAAAUGGGAAGACUCUUACGUUAUCGAGGAGGUCUACCAUUCCGGUGCCAUAAAAAUCAACAACUUCGAAGGCACAAGUCCGAGGGUGGUGAACGGUCAAAGAAUCAAACAUUAUAUCUUAGGUAAUCCUAUAAAUGUUGAAACUAAUAUUAUUGAAACCGUAACCCCGGAGGAAUACAUAAGGGACACUUUCCAGAAUGUUUCAGACUCCGAAAAUGAAUAGGCAUGUGGUAUGGUAAGUAAACCGACUCCAAAACAAUUGUAAUAGCAAUUUUUCUCCAUUUUGGAAUAUUUAAGAAAAUAGGAAAAUAAGAAGUAGUCCGGGAAGGACACGAGGCCUCCACGAGGGUGGAGGGCAUGCCCACCCCUACUGGGCGCACCCCCCUGCCUCGUGGGCACCUCGUGUGCUCUCUCGACUCUGUUUUCUUGCACGAUACUUCUUUUGGUCGGUAAAAAUUCAUUAUAUAAUCUCCCGCAGGUUUUGACCACCGUAUCAUGCAAAAAUCUUCUGUCUUUGUUUCGAGCUGUUUUUCUGACAGAUCUAGAGCAUCAUGACGUCACUCUCCUCCAACAAUGAAGACAAGGAUGCUUGGCUAUUGAAGAUAGAGCUGAAAAGAGAAGAACCGAUGGAGAUCAACAAGGAUGAAGGGAUCAAGAAGGCCAUGGAGGAUCAAGCUCCGACGGCGGAAGAAGAAAACAUCCCUCAACCUCUACCUAACCUUUUUACCCCAACUGAGAUUGAAUCUUUCAAGAUGAUUGAGUUAGCUCGUAUAAAAAACAAGUAUCUCACACAGGAAAAUAUUUUGUUGAAGGAGCAUAUCAUCGCACUCAAGGGCAUUAUCUGCAAACUGGAGGAGCUUCUACGCUCGAUGUGCGACUAUCCAUUGUCAUCAUCACCUUCUUCACCACCCCCGAGGACAUAAUCAUAUGGGUAUGGGCACUCCCCUUGGCAACUGCCAAGCUUGGGGGAGGUGUGAUAACCCUCAAGUAUACGGGAUUGUUGUAGCCUCUUUCGAUAAGUAAGAGUGUCGAACCCAAUGAGGAGCUAAAGGUAGAACAAAUACUCUCUCAAGUCCUAUCAGCCACUGAUACGACUCUACACACACUUGACGUUUGCUUUACCUAGAACAAGUAUGAAACUAGAAGUACUUUGUAGGUGUUGUUGGAUAGGUUAGCAAGAUAAUAAAGAGCACAUAAACAUAAACUAGGGGCUGUUAGGAUAAAGAGCAAGAAAGUAAAUAUAGCGAGUGUGGACAAGUGGUGGUAGGAGUUGUGAAAUUGUCCCUAAGCAAUUGACUAUGUUACUAGACCGGUAAUCACUAUUGCAAUUCUAUUUGAGGGAGAGGCAUAAGCUAACAUACUUUCUCUACUUGGAUCAUAUGCACUUAUGAUUGGAACUCUAGCAAGCAUCCGCAACUACUAGAGAUUCAUUAAGGUAAAACCCAACCAUAGCAUUAAAGUAUCAAGUCCCUUUUAUCCCAUAUGCAAACAACCUACUUACUCGGGUCUGUGCUUCUGUCACUCACGCCACCCACCAUAAGCAAAUCAUAAACAUAUUGCAAACCCUACAGCGGGAAUCCCUCACGCUUGCGCGACACGGAGGGCACAAUAGGACAGCACCAAUAAUAAAAUAUGCAACUCAAACCAAUCAUAGCAAUUCAUCAAUCACCGAUAGGACAAUGGAAAUCUACUCAGACAUCAUAGGAUGGCAACACAUCAUUGGAUAAUAAUAUGAAGCAUAAAGCACCAUGUUCAAGUAGAGGGUACAACGGGAUGCGGGAGAGUGGACCACUGAAUAUAGAUGGGGGAAGGUGAUGGAGAUGUUGGUGAAGAUGGCGGAGGUGUUGGUGAAGAUCGCGGUGAUGAUGAUGGCCCCCGGCGGCGCUCCGGCGCCACCGGAAGCAAGGGGGAGAGAGGCCCCCUUCUUCUUCUUCUUUCUUGACCUCCUCCCUAGAUGGGAGAAGGGUUUCCCCUCUGGUCCUUCACUCCCAUGGCUUGGGAGGGGCGAGAGCCCCUCCGAGAUUGGAUCUAUCUCUCUGUUUCUACGUUCUCUUCUGCUCUGUUUCACCGUCUCGCGUAUAUAUGGAGAUCCGUAACUCCGAUUGGCCUGAAACCUUCGCCGUGAUUUUUUUUCGAAUAUUAGCUUUCUUGCGGCAACAGAAGAGCGUCAACCGCCUUAUGGUGGGCUCACGAGGGUAGGGGCGCGCCCCCUACCUCGUGGCCACCUCGGGCACCGUCUCGCGUGGAUUUUUCUUCCAGAAUUUUCCAUAUUUUCCAAAAAUAAGCUCCGUCCGUUUUAUCCCAUUUGGACUCCGUUUGAUAUGGAUAUUCUGCGAAACAUAAAACAUGCAACAGACAGGAACUGGCACUGGGCACUGGAUCAAUAUGUUAGUCCCAAAAAUAAUAUAAAAAGUUGCCAAAAAGUAUAUGAAAGUGAAUAAUAUUGGCAUGGAACAAUCAAAAAUUAUAGAUACAACGGAGACAUAUCAGCAUCCCCAAGCUUCAUUCCUGCUCGUCCUCGAGUAGGUAAAUGAUAAAAAAGAUAAUUUUUGAUGUGGAAUGCUACCUAGCAUAAUCUUGAUCAUAUGUCUAAUCAUGGCAUGAAUAUUAAGACACGAGUGAUUCAAAGCUAUAGCUUAUCAUUUGACAUAAAAACAAUAAUACUUCGAGCGUACCAAUAAAGCAAUCAUGUCUUUUCAAAACAACAUGGCCAAAGAAAGUUAUCCCUACAAAAUCAUAUAGUCUGGCUGUUGCUCUAUCUUCAUCACACAAAGUAUUUAAUCAUGCACAACCCCGAUGACAAGCCAAGCAAUUGUUUCAUACUUUAAUAAUCUCAAACUUUUUCAACUUUCAUGCAAUACAUGAGCAUGAGCCAUGGAUAUAGCACUAUAGGUGGAAUAGAAUAUGAUGGUGGGGGUUAUGUGGAGAAGACAAAAAGGGAGAAAGUCUCACAUCAACUAGGCGUAUCAAUGGGCUAUGGAGAUGCCCAUCAAUAGAUAUCAAUGUGAGUGAGUAGGUAUUGCCAUGCAACGGAUGCACUAGAGCUAUAAGUAUAUGAAAGCUCAAACUGAAACUAAGUGGGUGUGCAUCCAACUUGCUUGCUCAUGAAGACCUCGGGCAUUUGAGGAAGCCCAUCAUCGGAAUAUACAAGCCAAGUUCUAUAAUGAAAAUUCCCACUAGUAUAUGAAAGUGAAAGCAUAGGAGGCUCUCUCUAUGAAGAACAUGGUGCUACUCUGAAGCAGAAGUGUGGUAAAAGGAUAGUAACAUUGCCCCUUCUCUCUUUUUCUCUCAUUUUUUUAUUUUUUUCCUUUUUUUGGUGGGCUUCUUUGGCCUCUCUUUUUUUAUUUGGGCUUCUUUGGCCUUUUUUAUUUUUCAUAAAGUCCGGAGUCUCAUCCCGACUUGUGGGGGAAUCAUAGUCUCCAUCAUCCUUUCCUCACUGGGGCAAUGCUCUAAUAAUGAUGAUCAUCACACUUUUAUUUACGUACAACUCAAUAUUUAGAACAAAGAUACGACUCUAUAUGAAUGCUUCCGGCGGUGUACCGGGAUGUGCAAUGAUGUAGCGUAGCAAUGACAUCAAAAAAGGACAAGCCAUGAAAACAUCAUGCUAUCUAUCUUACGAUCAUGCAAGGCAAUAUGACAAUGAAUGCUCAAGUCAUGUAUAUGAUAAUGAUGAUGAAAGUUGCAUGGCAAUAUAUCUCGGAAUGGCUAUGGAAAUGCCAUGAUAGGUAGGUAUGGUGGCUGUUUUGAGGAAGAUAUAAGGAGGCUUAUGUGUGAUAGAGCGUAUCAUAUCACGGGGUUUGGAUGCACCGGCGAAGUUUGCACCAACUCUCGAGGUGAGAAAGGGCAAUGCACGGUACCGAAGAGGCUAGCAAUGAUGGAAGGGUGAGAGUGCGUAUCAUCCGUGGACUCAACAUUAGUCAUAAAGAACUCAUAAACUUAUUGCAAAAAUCUACAAGCCAUUGAAAACAAAGUACUACACGCAUGCUCCUAGGGGGAUAGAUUGGUAGGAAAAGACCAUCGCUCGUCCCCGACCGCCACUCAUAAGGAAGACAAUCAAUAAAUAAAAUUGUGCUCCAACUUCAUCGCAAAGCGGUUCACCAUACGUGCAUGCUACGGGAAUCACAAACCUCAACACAAGUGUCUCUACAAUCCACAACCACCCACUAGCAUGACUCUAAUAUCACCAUCUUUAUAUCGCAAAACUAUUGCAAGGAAUCAAACAUAUCGUAUUCAGCGAUCUACAAGUUUAUGUAGGAUUUUAUGACUAACCAUGUGAAUGACCAAUUCCUGUCAUCUCUCUAAAUAGAUAUAAGUGAAGCAAGAGAGUUUAAUUCUUCCUACAAAAGAUAUGCCCACGCUCUAACAAAUAUAAGUGAAGCAAAAGAGCAUUCUACAAAUGGCGGUUUUCUAUGUGAAGAGAAACAGGCAAUCCAAACUUCAAAUGAUAUAAGUGAAGCACAUGAAGCAUUCUAUAAAGCCAUACUCAAAAGAUUUAAGUGAAGUGCAAUGAGCAUUCUAUAAAUCAACCAAGGACAAUCUCAUACCAGCAUGGUGCAUAAAAGAAAAAUGAAAACUAAAUGCAAAAGACGCUCCAAGUCUUGCACAUAAUGCAUGAACGAAACGAAAUCGAAAACAUACCGAUACUUGUUGAAGAAAGAGGGGAUGCCUUCCGGGGCAUCCCCAAUCUUAGACGCUUGAGUCUCCUUAAAUAUUUACUUGGGGUGCCUCGGGCAUCCCCAAGCUUGAGCUCUAGCCUCUCUUCCUUUUCCUCAUAUCGAGACCUCCUCGUUUAGACACUUCAUCCACACAAAACUUCAACAGAAAACUCGGUAAGAUCCGUUAGUAUAAUAAAGCAAAUCACCACUCUAAGUACUGUAGCAAACCAAUUCAUAUUUUGUUUUUGCAUUGUGUCUACUGUAAUAUAACUUUUCCAUGGCUUAAUCCACUGAUAUAAAUUGAUAGUUUCAUCAAAACAAGCAAACUGUGCAUCAAAAACAGAAUCUGUCAAAAACAGAACAGUCUGUAGCAAUCUGAACAUCCACCAUACUUGUGGUACCCCGAAAAUUCUACCAAAAUUAGGAAAAAUAAAAAAGUUGUGCCUCCAUACAGUGCAAGAGGAAUCAGAACCAAUUGACGUUCCAGAUAAAAAUGUAAAAUCGCUCACUACAGCCAAAGUUUCUGUCCUGCACCGUACAAACAACCAAGCAUUGUAAACAUCCUAAAGGCAAACCUUGGCACAUUAUUUUUAUAAUACAAUGGAAUUGUACAAGGGGAUAAUUAUUUUUGAUAAAAAGUUUCUGUAAUCAAGAUUCACAAAGUUCCCGUGAGCAUGAACAAAGUUCAAGGAGCUCUCCCACUUCAACAACGCUUGUCUUUCUUACUUUCACUUUCCUUUUUGAAAAGUUUUUUUUAGAUUCCCCUCUUUAUUUUUUUUGUUUUUAAACAAUCUGAAAGAACUCAACAGAAAUAAAUGACUCUCUAAAACUUUCGGGUUGUCUCCCUGGCAGCGCUUUUUUUAAAGCCAUUAAGCCAGGCAUUUAGUGCUCAAGUAAUGGAUCCACCCGGAUCCCAAGGUAUAUCAAAGCCAAUUUUAAUUAACAAUGAUUUGUAAUUUAGUAGUGAGCACAAAGUAACAUAUAUCAUGCAACAACGAAGUCCAACUCUCUUCCUAUGCAUCGGCAUGUCAUAAGAGAACAAUUCAUGCACACAUAGUAAAGGCUAAUGCAUAGUAUAAGCAGUUUCUUGCAAUUUCAUAGUAUGGGAAACAUAGAGAGGUGGAGAAAUAGUUCCUCUCUCAUAAUAAUUGCAAGUAGGAGCAGCAAGCACAUGCAUAUUACAUUCAUCAAAAUCAUCAUGUGCAAUGGUAAAAGGCAACCCAUCAAUAUAAUCCUUAAUAAGCACAAACUUCUCCGAUAUAGUGUGGUCGGGAGAAUUCAAAAAGAUAAUAGGACUAUCAUGCGUGGGUGCAAUAGCAACAAUUUCAUGUUUAACAUAAGGAACUAUAGCAAGUUCAUCUCCAUAAGCAUAAUUCAUAUUGGCAUCUUGGCCACAAGCAUAGCAAGCAUCAUCAAAAAGGGAUAUUUCAAACAAAUUCAAGGGAUCAUAGCAAUCAUCAUAGCAAUCAUCCUUCGGUAAGCACGAAGGGGAAUUAAAAAAUGUAUGAGUUCAAGAGUUACUCUCAUUAGAAGGUGGGCAUGGGUGAUCAAUCCGCUCUUCCUCCUUUUGUUCUUCGCUCUCCUCAUCAUCUUUUUCAUCCAAUGAGCUCAUAGUUUCAUCAAUUUCUUCUUCCAUAGCUUCCUGCAAAAUAUUAAUCUCUUCUUGGACAGCGGAGACUUUCUUCAUAAAAGCAUUAAUAUAAUAAUUGUAUUCAUAAUUUUCAUAGAAAUAUCUAAGUAUAGCAAGAUUUUCAGGCCUAUAACCAUCAUCAUCAAAAGCUUCAUACUUUUCAAACAAAGCUUCAAUUUCAUAAGCAGCCUUAAAAUCAACAAAUUCUUCUAUUUGUUCCACAUCAUAGUAAUCAUAUAUACCAUUAGCAUAAGAAGAUAGGGUUUCAUUAUCAUUAAAUUUGCAUGAAAAGGGAAGGUGUGGAGCCUCCAUCCUAGAGCAACAAGUAAUAUCAUAUCUCAAGCAUAGAUUCCAGGCAUACCAACGCAACAUAAUAAAUUGAUCCCAUAAUAGUUACCCUUUUUUUGUCGAGCGAUAAUCCCUAAAGUAUUCACGUUGAUCCAACAUGUCUCCCAUUAUAAAGUUGAAUGGGUCUUUCUCAGGAUUAUCAAAGUAGUACACAAUAUCUUUCGCAUAAUCAGAAUCGAGGGUUUUAGGAGUUACCCCAUCCUCAUGAGUAGCAAGUACAGCUAAUUUUUUUGGUAUUUUGCGUUCCAUAUCCAUAACUAAAUAUAGAGAACAACUAAGAACAGCAAAUAAAAAUUACUUAGUGAUAAAGCAAACAAGCACAAACGAGAAUAUUCACCCCACGCUAUGACUCCCCGGCAACGGCGCCAGAAAAAGGUCUUGAUAACCCGCAAGUAUACGGGAUAGUUGUAGCCUCUUUCGAUAAGUAAGAGUGUCCAACCCAAUGAGGAGUUAAAGGUAGAAAAAAUACUCUCUCAAGUCCGAUCGUCCACUGAUACGACUCUACACACGCUUGACGUUCGCUUUACCUAGAACAAGUAUGAAACUAGAAGUACUUUGUAGGUGUUGUUGGAUAGGUUAGCAAGAUAAUAAAGAGCACGUAAACAUAAACUAGGGGCUGUUAGGAUAAAGAGCAAGAAAGUAAAUAUAGCGAGUGUGGAAAAGUGGUGGUAGGAGUUGUGAAAUUGUCCCAAAGCAAUUGACUACGUUACUAGACCGGUAAUCACUAUUGCAAUUCUAUUUGAGGGAGAGGCAUAAGCUAACAUACUUUCUCUACUUGGAUCAUAUGCACUUAUGAUUGGAACUCUAGCAAGCAUCCGCAACUACUAGAGAUUCAUUAAGGUAAAACCCAACCAUAGCAUUAAAGUAUCAAGUCCCCUUUAUCCCAUACACAAACAACCUACUUACUCGGGUCUGUGCUUCUAUCACUCAUGCCACCCACCAUAAGCAAAUCAUAAACAUAUUGCAAACCCUACAGCGGGAAUCCCUCACGCUUGCACGACAUGGAGGGCACAAUAGGACAGCACCAAUAAUAAAAUAUGCAACUCAAACCAAUCAUAGCAGUUCAUCAAUCACCGAUAGGACAAUGGAAAUCUACUCAGACAUCAUAGGAUGGCAACACAUCAUUGGAUAAUAAUAUGAAGCAUAAAGCACCAUGUUCAAGUAGAGGGUACAACGGGAUGCGGGAGAGUGGACCGCUGAAUAUAGAUGGGGGAAGGUGAUGAAGAUGUUGGUGAAUAUGGUGGAGGUGUUGGUGAAGAUCGCGGUGAUGAUGAUGGCCCCCGGCGGCGCUGCGGCGCCACCAGAAGCAAGGGGGAGAGAGGCCCCCUUCUUCUUCUUCUUCCUUGACCUGCUCCCUAGAUGGGAGAAGGGUUUCUCCUAUGGUCCUUGGCUCUCAUGGCUUGGGAGGGGCGAGAGCCCCUCCGAGAUUGGAUCUAUCUCUCUGUUUCUGCGUUCUCUUCUGCUCCGUUUCACGUAUAUAUGGAGAUCCGUAACUCCGAUUGGCCUGAAACCUUCGCCGUGAUUUUUUUCUGAAUAUUAGCUUUCUUGCGGCAAAAUAAGAGCAUCAACCGCCUUACGGUGGGCUCACGAGGGUAGGGGGCGCGCCCAGGGGAGUCAGGCGCGCCCCCUACCUCGUGACCACCUCGGGCACCGUCUCACGUGGAUUUUUCUUCCGGAAUUUUCCAUAUUUUCCAAAAAUAAGCUCCAUCCAUUUUUAUCCCGUUUGGACUCCGUUUGAUAUGGAUAUUCUGUGAAACAUAAAACAUGCAACAGACAGGAACUGGCACUGGGCACUGGAUCAAUAUGUUAGUCCCAAAAAUAAUAUAAAAAGUUGCCAAAAAGUAUAUGAAAGUGAAUAAUAUUGGCAUGGAACAAUCAAAAAUUAUAGAUACGACGGAGACGUAGCAAGGUGCCCCGGUAUCGUAUCACCAUCACACUCCUAUCUCUACCAUUUUACUUAGUUCGAUCCCUUUGGUAAUAUCUAGAUCUAGUAGAAUAAAGUUUGGGUAUGGUUUAGUUUUGAGUUUUGCUUUGUGAUCCCUCUGUGUAAUUGAGUCCGUGAGCUAUAUAAUAAAGAUUAAUGUUGAGUCAAGGGCUUAGCUAUCUUGCUAUGAUCUUGAGAAAAUAGAAAGAAUAAAAGGAGAUAAAAGAGUUCAUAUUGAUCUUAUGGAUAGUAAUGACUUCACAUAUAAAGAGUAUGAGGCUUAAAAGUUGUUGGGAGUUGGCAAACAUAGUUUUGGUCAUCGUUGCAAUUAAUAGGAAGUAAUAAAGAAAGAGAGGUUCUCACAUAUAAGUAUACUAUCUUGGACAUCUUUUACGAUUGUGAGCACUCAUUAAAGUAUGACAUGCUAAAGAGUUGAUGUUGGACAAGGAAGACAACAUAAUGGGUUAUGUUUUCUCACAUCUCAGUUAAAGUAUAUUGUCAUGGAUCGUCCAACAUGCUGAGCUUGCCUUUCCCCCUCAUGCUAGCCAAACUCCUUGCACCAAGUAGAGAUACUACUUGUGCUUCCAAAUAUCCUUAAACCUAGUUUUUGCCAUGAGAGUCCACCAUACCUACCUAUGGAUUGAGUAAGAUCCUUCAAGUAAGUUGUCAUGUUACAAGCAAUAAAAAUUGCUCUCUAAAUAUGUAUGACUUAUUAGUGCGGAGAAAAUAAGCUUUAUACGAUCGUGUGAUAUGGAAGUAAUAAAAGUGAUGGACUGCAUAAUAAGGGUUCAUAUCACAAGUAGCAAUAUAAAGUGACGUUCUUUUGCAUUAAGAUUUUGUGCAUCCAACCCUAAAAGCACAUGACAACCUAUGCUUCCCUCUGCGAAGGGCCUAUCUUUUACUUGAUGUAUUUUACAUUAUGCAAGAGUCAAGGUGAUCCUCACCUUUCCCUUUUUUCAUUUUAUCCUUUGGCAAGCACCUCGUGUUGGAAAGACACUGAUAUAUAUAUCCAAUUGGAUGUAAGUUACCAUGAACUAUUAUUGUUGACAUUACCCUUGAGGUAAAACAUUGGGAGGCAACACUAUAGGCCUCUAUCUUUAUCUGUGUCCGAUUAAAACUCCAGAACCAUAAGUAUUGCGUGAGUGUUAGCUAUUGUAGAAGAGUAUAUGAUAGUUAGGUAUGUGGACUUGCUGAAAAGCUCUAUUUUUGACUCUUUCCGAUGUUAUGAUAAAUUGCAAUUGCUUCAAUGACUGAGAUUAUAGUUUGUUAGUUCCCAAUGAAGUUUAUGAUGCAUACUUGACAUUGUGAAUAGAUUGUUACUUGAGCAUAAGAAAUCAUAUGAUAAAAUCUAUAUAUGUUGCUGUUAUAAGAAUGAUGAUGAUGCCCUUAUGUCCGUAUCUUAUUUUUAUCGAUACCUCUAUCUCUAAACAUGUGGACAUAUUUUUCGAUAUCGGCUUCCGCUUGAGGACAAGCGAGGUCAAAGCUUGGGGGAGUUGAUACGUUCAUUUUGCAUCAUGCUUUUAUAUCGAUAUUUAUUGCAUUAUGGGUUGUUAUUACACGUUAUGUCAUAAUACUUAUGGCUAUUCUAUCUUAUUUUACAAGGUUUAACAUAAAGAGGGAGAAUGCCGGCAACUGGGAUUCUGGGCCGGAAAAGGAGCAAAUAUUGGAAACCUAUUCUGCACAGCUCCAAAAGUCCUGAAACUCCAAGGAAGUCAUUUUUGGAAUUAAUGAGAAUUAUUGAGCGAAAGAAGUACCAGAGGGGGCCCACACCCUGGCCACGAGGGUGGGGGCGCGCCCACCCCUACUGGGGACACCUCCCUGCCUCGUGGGCCCCCUGGUGGCCCUCCGGUGCCCAUCUUCUGCUAUAUGAAGUCUUUUACCCUGAAAAAAAAUCAUAAGCAAGGUUACGGGACGAAACUCCGCCGCUGAUACGUCCAUUUUGCAUCAUGCUUUUAUAUCAAUAUUUAUGGCAUUAUGGGCUAUUAUUACACAUUAUAUCUCAAUACUUAUGGCUAUUUUCUCUUAUUUUACAAGGUUUACCAUGAAGAGGGGGAAUGCAGGCAGCUAGAAUUCUGGCUGAAAAAGGAGCAAACAUUGGAAACCUAUUCUGCACAACUCCAAAAGGCCUGAAACUCCACGAAACCACGUUUUGGAUUUAUUAAGGAAUUAUGAGCAAAAGAAAUAGGCCAGGAGGCCCACACCCUGUCCAGGAGAUAGGGGGCGCGCCCCCCCCCAUAGGGCGUGCCCCCUAUCUCCUUGGCCCCCUGGUGGGCCUCCGGCGACCAUCUUCUGCUAUAUGAAGGGUUUUGUCCUGGAAACAUUCGUGGGCAAGCUUACGGGACGAAACUCCGCCGCCACGAGGCGGAACCUUGGCGGAAUCAAUCUAAGGCUCUGGCGGAGCUGUUCUGCCGGGGACACUUCCCUCCGGGAGGGGGAAAUCAUCACCAACGUCAUCACCAACAAUCCUCUCAUCUAGAGGGGGUCAAUCUUCAUCAACAUCUUCACCAGCACCAUCUCCUCUCAAACCCUAGUUCAUCUCUUGUAACCAAUCUUGUAUCCAAAACCACAAAUUGGUACCUGUGGGUUGCUAGUAGUGUUGAUUACUCCUUGUAGUUGAUACUUAUUGGUUUACUUGGUGGAAGAUUAUAAGUUCAGAUCCUUAAUGCAUAUUAUUACAACUCUGAUCAUGAACAUGCUUAUGCUUUGUGAGUAGUUACUUUGGUUCCUGAGGACAUGGGUGAAGUCUUGCUCUUAGUAGUCAUGUGAAUUUGGUAUUCGUUUGAUAUUUUGAUGAGAUGUAUGUUGCCUCUCCUCUAAUGGUGUUACGUGAACGUCGACUACAUGACACUUCACCAUUAUUUGGGCCUAGAGGAAGGCAUAGGGAAGUAAUAAGUAGAUGAUGGGUUGCUAGAGUGACAGAAGCUUAAACCCUAGUUUAUGCGUUGCUUCGUUAGGGGUUGAUAUGGACCCAUAUGUUUAAUGAUGUGGUUAGGUUUACCUUAAUACUCCUUUUUGUAGUUGCGGAUGCUUGCAAUAGGGGUUAAUCAUAAGUGGGAUGCUUGUCCAAGUUAGGGUAGUACCCAAGUGUUGGUCUACCCACAUAUCAAAUUAUCAAAGUACCGAACGUGAAUCUUACGAACGUGAUGAAACUAGCUUGACGAUAAUUCCCAAUGUGUCCUCGGGAGCUCCUUCAUUAUUAUUAGAAUUUGUCCAGGCUUAUCCUUUGCUAAAGGAUUGGGCCAUCUUGCUGCACCUUAUUUACUUUAUUUACUUUUGUUCGUUACUAUUUAUCUUAUCACAAAACUAUCUAUCACCUACUAUUUCAGUGCUUGCAGAGAAAACCUUACUGAAAACCGCUUAUCAUUUCCUUCUGCUCCUCGUUGGGUUCGACACUCUUACUUAUCGAAAGGACUAUGAUAUAUCACCUAUACUUGUGGGUCAUCAAGACUCUUUUCUGGCGUUGUUGCCGGGGAGCGUAGCGCUCUUGGUGAGUGGAACUUGGUAGGGAAACAUUAAUUUAGUGUGCUAAAAUUUUCUGUUACUAGUCACUAUGGAAACUAAUCCUUUGAGUGGCUUAUUUGGGGUAUCUUCACCCCAACUAGAGGAGCAAAGAGAUGUUCCUCAACCUACUAAAAUUUAUGAAAAUAUUCACUUUGAGAUUCCUUCGGGUAUGAUAGAAAAACUGCUAGCUAAUCCUUUUGCAGGAGACGGAACUUUGCGUCCCGACCUACACCUUAUCUUUGUGGAUGAAGUUUGUGGAUUAUUUAAGCUUGCAGGUAUUCCUGAGGAUGUUGUCAAAAGGAAGGUCUUCCCUUUAUCUUUGAAGGGAGAUGCAAUGACAUGGUAUAGGCUAUGUGAUGACACGAGAUCUUGGAAUUAUAAGCGAUUGGAAUUGGAAUUUCACCAGAAGUUCUAUCCUAUGCAUCUUGUUCAUCGUGAUCGUAAUUACAUAUAUAAUUUCUGGCCUCGCGAAGGAGAAAGCAUCGCUCAAGCUUGGGGAGGCUUAAGUCAAUGUUAUAUUCAUGCCCCAAUUAUGAGCUCUCUCGGGGAAUGAUUAUUCAGAAUUUUUAUGCUCGGCUUUCUCUUGAUAAUCGCAACUUGCUCGAUACUUCCUGUGCUGGUUCCUAUAUGCUGAAGACUAUUGAUUUCAAAUGGGACUUAUUGGAAAGAAUUAAACGCAACUCUGAAGAUUGGGGUUCCGACGAUGGUAAGGAGUUAGGUAUGACACCUAAGUUUGAUUGUGUUAAAUCUUUUAUGGAUACCGAUGCUUUCCGUGGAUUUAGCUCUAAGUAUGGGCUUGACUCUGAGAUAGUAGCUACUUUUUGUGAAACUUUUGCUUCUCACGUUGAUCUCCCUAAAGAGAAGUGGUUUAAAUAUAAUCCGCCUGUUGAAGUGAAAGUAGUUGCACCUAUUACAGUCGAAGAAAAGACUAUUACAUAUAGUGAUCCUAUUAUUCCUACUACUUAUGUUGAAAAACCUCCUUUUCCAGUUAGGAUAAAAGAUCAUGUUAAAGCUUCGACUGUUGUUCGUAAUAGUAAUACUAGGACUUAUACACCUCCUGAGCAAAUUAAUGUUGAACCUAGUAUUGCUACGAUUAAAGAUCUCUUGGAUGAAGACUUAGAUGGGCAUGUUAUUUCUUUCGUGGGUGAAACUGCUAAUAUUGCUAGACCCGAUACUAAGACACGUAGACCUGUUGUAGGCACGCCUGUUAUUUCUGUUAAAAUAGGAGAUCAUUGUUAUCAUGGCUUAUGUGAUAUGGGUGCUAGUGCUAAUGCUAUACCUUACGAUCUUUAUAAAGAAAUUAUGCACGAUAUUGCACCUGUUGAAUUAGAAGACAUUGAUGUUACUAUUAAGCUUGUUAAUAGGGACACAAUUAAACCUAUUGGGAUUGUUACAGAUGUUGAAGUCUUGUGUGGAAGGAUUAAAUACCCUGCUGAUUUUCUUGUUUUUGCUCGCCCACAAGAUAACUUUUGUCCCAUUAUUUUUGGUAGACCUUUCUUGCAUACUGCUAGUGCUAAGAUUGAUUGUGAAAAGAAUAUUGUCACUGUUGGUAUAGAUGGUAUGUCUCAUGAGUUUAAUUUCGCUAAGUUUAGUAGACAACAUCGUGAAAAGGAAUCAUCUAGUAAGGAUGAGAUUGUUGGUCUUGCUUCCAUUGCUGUUCCUCCAACUGAUCCGUUAGAACAAUAUUUGCUAGACCAUGAGAACGAUAUGUUUAUGAAGGAAAUGGAAGAAAUAGAUGAAGUGUUCCUUAAACAAGAACCUACGCUAAAACAUAAUCUUCCCGUUGAAAUUCUUGGGGAUCCCCCUCCACCCAAGGGUGAUCCCGUGUUUGAACUCAAACCCUUACCUGAUAAUCUCAAGUAUGCUUAUCUUGAUGAAAAAGAAAUAUAUCAUGUUAUUAUUAGUGCUAACCUUUCAGAGAAAGAAGAAGAAAGAUUAUUGGAAACUCUGAAGAAGCACCGAGCUGAUAUUGGAUAUACUCUGGAUGAUCUUAAGGGCAUUAGUCCCACAUUAUGUCAACAUAAAAUUUCAGUGGAGAAAGAUGCCAAACCUGUUAGAGAUCCUCAAAGACGAUUAAAUCCUAAAAUGAAGGAAGUGGUGAGAAAGGAGAUACUAAAACUCCUUGAGGCAGGUAUUAUUUAUCCCGUUGCUGAUAGUGAAUGGGUAAGCCUUUUCCAUUGUGUCCCUAAAAAGGGAGGUAUUACCGUUGUUCCUAAUGAUAAAGAUGAAUUGAUCCCGCAAAGAAUUAUUACAGGCUAUAGGAUGGUAAUUGAUUUCCAUAAGUUAAACAAAGCCACUAAGAAAGAUCAUUACCCUUUACCUUUUAUUGAUCAAAUGCUAGAAAUGCUAUCCAAACACACACAUUUUUGCUUUCUAGAUGGUUAUUCUGGCUUCUCUCAAAUACCUGUGUCAGCGGGCGAUCAACCUAAAACUACUUUUACCUGCCCUUUUGGUACUUUUGCUUAUAGACGUAUGCCUUUUGGUUUAUGUAAUGCACCUCCUACUUUUCAAAGAUGCAUGAUGGCUAUAUUUUCUGGUUUUUGUGAAAAGAUUUGUGAGGUAUUCAUGGAUGACUUCUCCGUCUAUGGAUCCUCUUUUGAUGAUUGUUUGAGCAACCUUGAUCGAGUUUUGCAGAAAUGCGAAGACACUAGUCUCGUCCUGAGUUGGGAAAAGUGUCACUUUAUGGUUAAUGAAGGCAUUGUCUUGGGGCACAAGAUCUCUGAGAGGGGUAUCGAAGUUGAUAAAGCCAAAGUUGAUGCUAUUGAAAAGAUGCCAUGUCCCAAGGACAUAAAAGGUAUAAGAAGUUUCCUUGGUCAUGCAGGUUUUUAUAGGAGGUUCAUUAAGGACUUUUCUAAAAUCUCUAGGCCUCUGACUAAUUUAUUGCAAAAAGAUAUUCCUUUUGUCUUUGAUGAUGAUUGUGUAGACACAUUUGAAACACUUAAGAAAGCUUUAAUCACAGCACCUAUUGUUCAGCCACCUGAUUGGAAUUUACCUUUUGAAAUUAUGUGUGAUGCUAGUGAUUAUGCUUUAGGUGCUGUUUUAGGGCAAAGAGUCGAUAAGAAAUUGAAUGUUAUCCAUUAUGCUAGUAAGACUCUUGAUACUGCCCAGAGAAAUUAUGCUACCACUGAAAAAGAAUUCUUAGCAGUUGUGUUUGCAUGUGAUAAGUUUAGACCUUAUAUUGUUGAUUCCAAAGUUACUAUUCACACUGAUCAUGCUGCUAUUAAAUAUCUUUUGAAAAAGAAAGAUGCCAAACCUAGACUCAUUAGAUGUGUUCUCUUGCUCCAAGAAUUUGACUUGCAUAUUAUUGAUAGAAAGGGAGCUGAGAACCCCGUUGCAGACAACUUGUCUAGGUUAGAGAAUGUUCUUGAUGACCCACUGCCUAUUAAUGAUAGUUUUCCUGAUGAACAAUUAGCGGUUGUCAAUGCUUCUCGUACUGCUCCUUGGUAUGCUGACUAUGCUAAUUACAUUGUUGCUAAAUAUAUACCGCCUAGUUUCACAUACCAGCAAAAGAAAAAGUUAUUUUAUGAUUUAAGACAUUACUUCUGGGAUGAUCCACACCUUUAUAAAGAAGGAGUAGAUGGUAUUAUUAGACGUUGUGUGCCUGAGCAUGAACAGGAACAAAUCCUACGCAAGUGUCACUCUGAAUCCUAUGGAGGACACCACGCUAGAGAUAGAACUGCACACAAGGUACUACAAUCUGGUUUUUAUUGGCCUACUCUUUUCAAAGAUGCCCGUAAGUUUGUCGUAUCCUGUGAUGAAUGCCAAAGAAUAGGUAACAUUAGUAGACGUCAAGAAAUGCCUAUGAAUUAUUCUCUUGUUAUUGAACCGUUUGAUGUCUGGGGCUUUGAUUACAUGGGACCUUUUCCUGCCUCCAAUGGUUAUACUCAUAUUUUAGUUGCUGUUGAUUAUGUUACUAAGUGGGUAGAAGCUAUUCCAACUAGUAGUGCUGAUCAUAACACUUCUAUUAAAAUGCUUAAAGAAGUUAUUUUUCCGAGGUUCGGAGUCCCUAGAUAUCUUAUGACUGAUGGUGGUUCACACUUUAUUCAUGGUGCUUUCCGUAAGAUGCUUGCUAAAUACGAUAUCAAUCAUAGAAUUGCAUCUCCUUAUCACCCGCAGUCUAGUGGUCAAGUAGAGUUGAGCAAUAGAGAGCUCAAAUUAAUUUUGCAAAAGACUGUGAAUAGAUCUAGAAAGAAUUGGUCCAAAAUACUUGAUGAUGCAUUAUGGGCCUAUAGAACUGCAUACAAAAAUCCUAUGGGUAUGUCUCCAUAUAAGAUGGUUUAUGGAAAAGCAUGCCAUUUACCUCUUGAACUUGAACAUAAAGCAUAUUGGGCUAUUAAAGAGCUCAAUUAUGACUUCAAACUUGCCGGUGAGAAAAGGUUGUUUGAUAUUAGCUCACUUGAUGAAUGGAGAGCCCAAGCUUAUGAGAAUGCCAAGCUCUUCAAAGAAAAAGUCAAACGCUGGCAUGAUAAAAGGAUACAAAAGCGUGAGUUUAACGUAGGAGAUUAUGUGUUAUUAUUCAACUCUCGUUUAUGAUUUUUUGCAGGAAAACUUCUCUCAAAAUGGGAAGGUCCCUAUGUUAUCGAGGAGGUCUACCGUUCCGGUGCUAUAAAAAUUAACAACUUUGAAGGCACAAAUCCUAGGGUGGUUAAUGGUCAAAGAAUCAAGCAUUAUAUUUCAGGUAACCCUAUCAAUGUUGAAACUAAUAUUAUUGAAACCAUAACCCCAGAGGAGUACAUAAGAGACACUUUCCAGAACGUCCCAGACUCCGAAAAGGCAUAGGUACGUGGUACGGUAAGUAUACCGACUCCAAAACAACUCUAAAGGCAAUUUUCAUCAGUUUUGGAUUAUUUAAGAAUUUUAGGAAGAAAUAAGUAGUCCGAAAGGGACACGAGGCUCCCACGAGAGAGGAGGGCGCCCCCCUGUAGGGCGCGCCCCUUGUCUCGUGGGCACCUCGUGUGCCUCCCGGACUCCGUUUUCUUGUAUGUUACGUAUUUUGGUCGGUAAAAAUUCAUUAUAUAUAUUCCGAAGGUUUUGGCCACCGUAUCACGCAAAUAUCCUCUAUUUUCGUUUUGAGGUUUCAGAUCUAGAGCAUCAUGUCAUCUUCCAGCGCUCCCAAGGACCAGUUUUUUGAGAGGGUGAUCAACCCUAUCUUGCGGAGGUGCUGCAUCAUCCCCAAACCAUUGAGGUGCGUGAGGGGGUGUUGCACAUCCGCGAUGUGGAAGGACCAAGGCGUACCGGGAGCAUAGAGACAAAACUCGAAGCCAUGGAACAAGAAGUUUUCAAGUGCCAAGGGAUGGUGGAGCGUGGACUCAACGCCAACCAGAUGAUGAUCACGGAGUUCACCAACAACCACAAGUUGGAUGCCAAAGAUGUUGGGGAGACCAUCUUCAAGCUUCAAGAGAAAAUCGAGCACCUCCAAGCCCAGGUUUAUGACCUGCAAAACCAGAACUGUGAGUAUGAAUAUAGAUUCAAGCGAAUGAGUUUGGCUGCAGAUUUAAGGAUCCCGGAGACUCAAUUGUCCUUCUAUGAUGGAGAGCCUAUGCCUUGGAAGAUGGAUGACAAGCCUACUCCAUCAACAACUCUUACUUCACCACCUCCGAAGAAAUAUUCACAUGGGUAUGGGCACUCCCCUUGGCAACUGCCAAGCUUGGGGGAGGUGCCCCAAUAUCGUACCACCAUCACACUCCUAUCUUUACCGCUUUAUUUAGUUCGAUCCUUUUAGUAGUAUCUUGAUCUAUUAGUUCGAAGUUUUAGUAUCAAGUAGUUUUUGAGUUUUGCUUUGUGAUCUCUUUUUGUAAGCGAGUAUGUGUGCUAUCUAUAAUAAAGAUUAGUGUUGAGUCAAGGGCUUUGCUAUGUUACUAUGAUCUUGAGAAAGUAGAAAGAACAAAAGAGUUCAUAUUGAUCUUAUGGAUAGUGAUAACUUCACACAUAGAAAGUAUGAGGCAUAAAAGAUGUUGAGAGUUGAUGAACGUAGCCUUGGUCAUCGUUGCAAUUAAUAGGAAGUGAUAAGGAAAGAGGGGUUCACAUAUAGAUAUAUUAUCUUGGGCAUCCUUUAUGAUUGUGAAGCACUCAUUAAGUAUGACAUGCUAAAAUAAUUGAUGUUGGACAAGGAAGACAACGUAAUGGUUUAUGUUUUGCGACAUCUCAGUUAAAAUAUAUUGUCAUUGACCUUCUGAACAUGUUGAGCUUGCCUUCCCCCCUCAUGCUAGCCAAAACUCCUUGCACCAAGUAGAGAUACUACUUGUGCUUCCAAACUCCCUUAAACCCAGUUUUGCCAUGAGAGUCCACCAUACCUACCUAUGGAUUGAGUAAGAUCCUUCAAGUAAGUUGUCAUCGGUGCAAGCAAUACAAAUUGCUCUCUAAAUAUGCAUCACUUAUUAAUGCAGAGAAAAUAAGCUUUGUAGGAACUUGUUGUGGAAGUAAUAAAAGCGACAGAGUGCAUAAUAAAGGUCCACAUACAAGGGGCAAUACAAAGUGACGUUCUUUUGCAUUAAGAUUUUGUGUAUCCAACCCUAAAGCGCAUGACAACCUCUGCUUCCCUCUGCGAAGGGCCUAUCUUUUACUUUAUGUAUUUACUUUAUGCUUGAGUCAAGGUGAUCCUCACCCUUCCACUUUUUCAUUUUAUCCUUUGGCAAGCUCCUCGUGUUUGAAAGGUCAUGAUACAUAUAUCAAAUUGAAUGUAAGUUGGCAUAGGCUAUUAUUGUUGACAUCACCUAAAGGUGAAUAUGUUGGGAGGCAACAUAAUAAGCCCCUAUCGUUCUCAGUGUCCGGCUGAAACUCUAUAACCACAAGUAUUGAGUGAGUGUUAACAAUUAUGGGGGACUACGAGAUAGUUGAGUAUGUGAUCUUGCUGAAAAGCUCUACUAUUGACUCUUUCUGAUGUUACGAUAAAUUGCAAUUGCUUCAAUGAGUGAGAUAAUAGUUUGUUAGUUCCCAAUGAAGUUUAUGAACCAUACUUGACAUUGUGAAUUGCUUAUUACUUGAACAUAGAAAAUCAUAUGACAAAAUCUAUAUAUAUGCUGCUGUUAUUAGAAUGAUCAUGAUGCCCUCAUGUCCGUAUUUUAUUUUUAUCGACACCUCUAUCUCUAAACAUGUGGUCAUAUUUCUCGAUCUCGGUUUCUGCUUGAGGACAAGCGAGGUCUAAGCUUGGGGGAGUUGAUACGUCCAUUUUGCAUCAUGCUUUUAUAUCAAUAUUUAUGGCAUUAUGGGUUGUUAUUACACAUUAUAUCUCAAUACUUAUGGCUAUUCUCUCUUAUUUUACAAUGUUUACCAUGAAGAGGGGGAAUGCCGGCAGCUGGAAUUCUGGCUGAAAAAGGAGCAAACAUUGGAAACCUAUUCUGCACAACUCCAAAAGUCCUGAAACUCCACGAAACCACUUUUUGGAUUUAUUAAGGAAUUAUGAGCAAAAGAAAUUGGUCAGGGGGCCCACACCCUGUCCAGGAGACAGGGGACGCCCCCCCAUAGGGCGCGCCCCCUAUCUCCUUGGCUCCCUGGUGGGCCUCCGGAGACCAUCUUCUGCUAUAUGAAGGGUUUUGUCCUGGAAAAAUUCGUGGGCAAGCUGACGGGACGAAACUCCGCCGCCACGAGGUGGAACCUUGGCGGAAUCAAUCUAGGGCUCUGGCGGAGCUGUUCUGCCGGGGACACUUCCCUCCGGGAGGGGGAAAUCAUCACCAACAUCAUCACCAAUGAUCCUCUCAUCGAGAGGGGGUCAAUCUUCAUCAACAUCUUCACCAGCACCAUCUCCUCUCAAACCCUAGUUCAUCUCUUGUAUCCAAUCUUGUAUCCAAAACCACAAAUUGGUACCUGUGGGUUGCUAGUAGUGUUGAUUACUCCUUGUAGUUGAUACUUAUUGGUUUACUUGGUGGAAGAUUAUAUGUUUAGAUCCUUAAUGCCUAUUAUUACACCCAUGAACAUGCUUAUGCUUUGUGAGUAGUUACUUUGGUUCCUGAGGACAUGGGUGAAGUCUUGCUAUUAGUAGUCAUGUGAAUUUGGUAUUCGUUCGAUAUUUUGAUGAGAUGUAUGUUGUCUCUCCUCUAGUGGUGUUAUGUGAACGUCGACUACAUGACACUUCACCAUUAUUUGGGCCUAGAGGAAGGCAUAGGGAAGUAAUAAGUAGAUGAUGGGUUGCUAGAGUGAUAGAAGCUUAAACCCUAGUUUAUGCGUUGCUUCGUUAGGGGUUGAUAUGGACCCAUAUGUUUAAUGCUGUGGUUAGGUUUACCUUAACACUCCUUUUUGUAGUUGCGGAUGCUUGCAAUAGGGGUUAAUCAUAAGUGGGAUGCUUGUCCAAGUUAGGGCAGUACCGAAGUGUUGGUCUACCCACAUAUCAAAUUAUCAAAGUGCCGAACGCGAAUCUUACGAACGUGAUGAAACUAGCUUGGCGAUAAUUCCCAAUGUGUCCUCGGGAGCUCCUUCAUUAUUAUUAGAAUUUGUCCAGGCUUAUCCUUUGCUACAUAAAGGAUCGGGCCAUCUUGCUGCACCUUAUUUAAUUUAUUUACUUUUGUUCGUUACUAUUUAUCUUAUCACAAAACUAUCUAUCACCUACUAUUUCAGUGCUUGCAGAGAAAACCUUACUGAAAACCGCUUAUCAUUUCCUUCUGCUCCUCGUUGGGUUCGACACUCUUACUUAUCGAAAGGACUAUGAUAGAUCCCCUAUACUUGUGGGCAUGGGUGAAGUCUUGCUAUUAGUAGUCAUGUGAAUUUGGUAUUCGUUCGAUAUUUUGAUGAGAUAUAUGUUGUCUCUCCUCUAGUGGUGUUAUGUGAACGUCGACUACAUGACACUUCACCAUUAUUUGGUCCUAGAGGAAGGCAUUGGGAAGUAAUAAGUAGAUGAUGGGUUGCUAGAGUGACAGAAGCUUAAACCCUAGUUUAUGCGUUGCUUCAUAAGGGGUUGAUUUGGAUCCACUAGUUUGAUGCUAUGGUUAAGUUUACCUUAAUACUUCUUUUGUAGUUGUGGAUGCUUGGAAUAGGGGUUAAUCUUAAGUGGGAUGCUUGUCCAAGAAAGGACAGCACCCAAGCACUGGUCUACCCACAUAUCAAAUUAUCAAAGUAACGAACGCGAAUCAUAUGAGCGUGAUGAAAACUAGCUUGACGAUAAUUCCCAUAUGUUGUCGGGAGCGGUUUUCUCAUUAUAAGAAAUUGUCCAGGCUUGUCCUUUGCUACAAAAAGGAUUGGGCCACCUUGCUGCACUUUAUUUACUUUCAUUGCUUGUUACCCAUUACAAAUUAUCUUAUCACAAAACUAUCUGUUACCUACAAUUUCAGUGCUUGUAGAGAAUACCUUACUAAAAACCGCUUGUCAUUUCCUUCUGCUCCUCAUUGGGUUCGACACUCUUACUUAUCGAAAGGACUAUGAUAGAUCCCUAUACUUGUGGGUCAUCAGGGACAUCUAUGCGAUAGAGCCAGUCACCCCAAAAUUCAACCCAUGGUUAGCAUGCCCGAUCACUUUCGAUCGCAGAGACCAUCCGACCAGUAUCCGUCAUGGAGGUUCAGCCGUGUUGGUCCUUGACCCAAUUAUCGAUGGAUUCCACCUCACGAGAGUCCUCAUGGACGGUGGCAGCAGUCUUAACCUACUCUAUCAGGACACAGUCCGCAAAAUGGGUAUUGACUCAUCAAGAAUCAAGCCCACCAAAACUACCUUCAAAGGAGUAAUACCUAGUGUAGAGGCCCGCUGCACGUGCUCAAUCACAUUGGAGGUCGUCUUCUGUUCGGCAGACAACUUCCUAAGCGAAGACUUGAUCUUCGACACCUUCCCUUUCCACAGUGGCUAUCAUGCACUACUCGGACGAACUGCGUUUGCCCGCUUCAACGUGGUCCCGCAUUAUGCUUAUGUAAAACUCAAGAUGCUAGGACCACGCGGUGUUAUAACAGUCCAUGGAAACAUGGAUCGCUCCCUCCGUACUAAGGAACAUACCGCGGCCCUCGCAGCGGAAGUGCAGGUCGGCCUUGUCAAGCCAAACUCCACAGCGGCACACAAUCCCCCGAAUUCUGUUAAAUGAGUCCUGACUACCCGGCAGAAUGACAGUCCAGCUCGUUAGGAGCUCGAUUAGCAUUUCAGCCUCUGUCUUAGCCCCAGCCAAACUGCGGCAAAUGUACCGCGUGCACAUAACUACGCACUAAAGGUUCCUUACAACCCACAUCACCUUUUUAUGGUGUCAAGGUGUAAGACAAUAGGCUUUGGGGGGAACCGGCACAACCCUCUAGGGGUGGCCUAUCACAUAUAUAUAUAAUGAGGUGGUAUACAAUGUUACACUAUACACAUGUAAAUACAGUCUAACACCCUCCCUCAAUCUUAGCCACUUUCUAAUGAAUCUAGAAGGGUAAGAUUGCGCCUGCAAGUCUCAAACUGUGGCAAAGGCAAUGGCUUGGUGAAGAUGUCAGCAAGUUGAUCCUUGGAAGAAAUAAACUUGAUCUGUAGUUGCUUCUGAGAGACACGUUCACGCACAAAGUGAUAGUCAACUUCAAUGUGUUUCGUUCGGGCAUGGAAUACCGGAUUUGCAGAAAGGUAUGUAGCACCGAUGUUAUCACACCAAAGAACAGGAGGCUGUGAUUGGGGUAUACUUAACUCCUGAAGCAAGGACUGUACCCAGAUGAUCUCUGAUGUGGCAUUGGCCACAGCCUUAUACUCAGCCUCAGUACUGCUACGCGAGACAGUAGCCUGUUUCCGAGCACUCCAGGCAAUCAGGUUAGAGCCAAAGAAGACAGCAUAACCCCCCGUGGAUCGCCUGUCAUCCGGAUUGCCAGCCCAGUCUGCAUCAGAAUAUGCUGAAAGACAACCAGAGUCAGACGGCCGUAUAUGCAAACCAUGAGCCACCGUGAAACGAAUAUAGCGCAAAAUCUGCUUAACAGCAGACCAAUGAGUGUCACGGGGUGACUGCAGAUACUGGCAGACUCGGUUAACAGCAUAGGAAAUGUCUGGUCGCGUGAUCGUCAAGUACUGGAGCCCACCAACAAUACUCCUGUACUCUGUCGCAUCAGAAGAAGAAAGAAGCACACCAUCAACAGCAUUGAGCUUAUCAGUGGUAGAAAUGGGUGUAGUCGUCGGUUUGCACUUAAGCAUCCCAGCUCGCUGCAACAAAUCCAGAGAAUACUUCUUCUGCGUCAUAACAAGGCCAGCAGCACGAGAAGUAACCUCCACACCAAGAAAGUAAUGAAGCUUCCCAAGGUCCUUGACCGCAAAAUCAGCACCAAGUGAGCGAACAAGCGCAGUAGCAGCCAACUGAGAGGAGCUGACCAAAAUGAUAUCAUCUACAUAGACCAACAAGUACAUAGUAACCUCAGGCCUUUGAAGAAGAAACAAUGAGGAGUCAGCAGUUGAUGAUGCAAAACCAUGAGCACGAAGAGCCAUUGCAAGACGAGCAUGCCAAGCACGAGGAGCCUGCUUCAGACCAUAAAUUGCCUUGGACAGACGACAGAGAUGAUCAGGGCGAUCCGGAUCAGAGAAACCCGGAGGCUGGCGCAUGUAAACCUCCUCCGCCAAGACACCAUGAAGAAAAGCAUUUUGAACAUCAAGCUGACGAAGAAACCAACCUCGAGUAACAGCCAGAGAGAGAAGAAGUCUGAUGGUAGUAGGCUUGACCACUGGACUGAAGGUGUCUUCAUAGUCAAGUCCAAAACACUGUCGAAAACCACGAGCAACCAGACGAGCCUUAUAACGCUCAAUGGACCCAUCAGAAUGCCUCUUCACUUUGAAAACCCAUUUGGAAUCAAUGACAUUUACCCGUGAUUGUGGAGGAACAAGAGUCCAUGUCUGAUUGCGAAGAAGCGCUUGAUACUCCUGCUCCAUGGCCUCUCUCCAAUGAGGAAUGCGCAUAGCAGCUUGAUACGUGCGUGGCUCAGAGGAUGGAUCUGCGAGAGCAGCAGACAUGCACGCCGCUAACCAAGCAACUAUGCCAUCGUGACGUUGCUUAGGCUGAAAAAUGCCACUCCGACUGCGCGUAUGUGGACGUAGAGCAGCAGCAGGAGCGGGCGGAGGCGAAGGUGACGGAGACGUAACGGUCGCCGGAGAUGCAGGAAUCACCUCAUGCGAGCUCGGGACAGACGACUCCGGGCUGCAUGGCGAAGACUGGCCCGACGACAGGGGCUCAGAGGCCAUGGGCGAACCGAGAGUGGGCGAGGCCAGCUCCGGUGACACCGAUCCAGACGGCCUUGGCGAGGCGAGAGCAGGCGAGGCCGGCCCUGGUGAGAAGGGCCCAGACACCCUGGGCGAGGCAGGGGCGGGCGAGGCCAGGCCUGGUGAUGACUGUCCCGACGCCCUGGGCGAGACGGGGACCAAGGAGGCCGGCCCAGUCGGCGGGGUUGCAGGGCGCGACGAUGGCGAAGGCAGCCCAGAAGCCAGAGGCGACCGGGCCAGGACGUCGAUCGGCCGUGCAUGAGCACGGAAACCGAGGCCAUGCAGGGGAGCCAUGUGCUCCUCAUGCACAACAGAAGGUGCCGAGGAUGAAGGCGAUGGCGACGAAGAGGAAGAUGGCACUUCCAGAAUCUCCAAACGAGCCCCACGACCAGUGCCUGCACCAUGGUUAGGCAACAAUAGAGGAGAAUAUGCAACAUCAUCAAAUUGGUCAGAAGCAAUAGAGGAUGAAUGCAUGACAGGUGGCUCGGUAGUGGACACAGGGAGUUUGGCAAAGGGAAAGACAUGCUCAUCAAACACAACAUCCCGAGAGAUGUAGACACGAUUAGUGGGCACAUGAAGACAUUUGUAUCCUUUAUGAAGAGAGCUAUAACCAAGAAAAACACACUUCUUGGAACGAAAAUCGAGCUUACGCUUGUUAUAUGGACGGAGAUGGGGCCAGCAAGCACACCCAAACACCUUGAGAAAGGUGUAGUACGAUUGUUCAUUAAGGAGAACUUCAAUGGGAGUCUUCAUAUUCAAAACACGAGUGGGAGUACGAUUGAUGAGAAAACAUGCAGUGGUGAAAGCAUCACUCCAAAAACGAAACGGAACAGAUGCAUGGGCCAAAAGAGUCAGACCAGCUUCAACAAUGUGACGAUGCUUACGUUCUACUGAACCAUUCUGCUGAUGUGUAUGUGGACAUGCUAAACGGUGAGUGAUCCCAAGCGACUGAAAGAAGGAGUUGAGGUUGCGAUACUCGCCACCCCAGUCCGACUGAACAUGAACAAUUUUGUGCUUGAGAAGGCGUUCAACAUGUUUUUGGAACUGAACAAAAAUGUCAAACACAUCAGAUUUACGUUUGAUAAGAUAAAGCCAGGUAAAGCGGCUGUAAGCAUCAACAAAACUGAUAUAGUAAUUAUGACCACUAACAGAAGUCUGAGCAGGACCCCAUACAUCUGAAAACACAAGUUCUAAAGGAUGUUUCACCGCACGACUGGACUCCGAAAAAGGAAGUUGAUGACUCUUCCCCUGCUGACAAGCAUCACACACUGCUACAUCUUUAUUACUAGACACACUAGGAAGCUCAUGACGACGCAAAACAUGCCGGACAAUAGGUGUGGCCGGGUGACCAAGACGAGCAUGCCACUGUGACGGAGAUACCCGAACUCCACUGAAGACGCGAGCGACGCCAGGAUGCUCCAGACGAUAGAGACCUUGGCAGAGCCGCCCACUAAGAAGAAUGUCCCUCGUGCCCCGAUCCUUAAUAAAAAGAUCAAAAGGAUGAAAUUCACAAAGCACAUUAUUAUCACGAGUGAGUUUAGGAACUGAAAGAAGAUUACGUGUCACAGAUGGAACUCGAAGAACAUUGCGAAGUUGAAGACUCCUAUUGGCAUGUCUAGUGAGAAGUGAUGCUUGACCAAUAUGAGAGAUGUGCAUACCUGCUCCAUUGGCGGUGUGGAUCUUGUCGGAUCCAUGGUAGGGUUCACGAGUGUGAAGCUUCCCCAUCUCAUUGGUCAGGUGCUCUGUCGCCCGAGAGUCCAUGUACCAGUGGGGAUCAAUGGAGUAGGACUGAGUGUGUCCCUGUGGCUUCUGCGGCGGCGGACGAUCAGCCAUGGCGACCUGACGAGCAAAGUUGCGUGUAUCCUUCCCGUCAUUGCCGAGACCAAGAAAACCCCGAUGGAAGCGCUUGUGACACUUCAAGGCCCAGUGCCCAUCGCGACCACAAAGCUGGCACACACGUGGACCGCCAGCCCCUGGUAGCGUCGCAGUAGGAGGAGGGGCCGAGGCGGGUGGUGGUGACUGCCCCGAAGGAGCCCUGGAUGAAGCAGAGGAGCGACCACCCUUGGUGGCGGCGUUUGCCGAGAGGGCGCCGUUGCCCCUGGAUCGGCGUGUCUCGACUCGUUGCUCAGUAAGCACGAGGCGUGAAAAGACCUCGUGUGCUGGCAUGGGCGUGGAGUUGCCCCUCUCAUUGAUGAUCUCGACUAGGGCGUCAUACUCCUCAUCAAGACCAUUGACAAUAAACGAGUUGAACUCGGAGUCGGUGAGGGGCUGUCCAAUGGAGGCCAGCGUGUCGGCGAGACUCUUGACUUUGUUGUAGAACUCAGUGGCGGUGGAGUCAAGCUUCUGACACUCCCCAACUUGGCGACGGAGCCCAGAUACACGAGCCUGCGACUGUGCCGCAAACGAGCGCUCAAGAAUAGUCCAUGCCUCGUGGGACGUCUUGGCGAAGACAACAAGCCCAGCAACGGCCGGAGAGAGCGACCCCUGGAUGGAGGAGAGGUUCGCCUGAUCCUGCCCUGUCCAGACACGGUGAGCCGGAUUAUAGACCGGGCCGUGCACGCUGUCAACCAGCGCAGGAGGGCAAGGGAGAGAGCCGUCGACAUAGCCAAGAAGAUAGUGACUCCCAAGAAGCGGAAGAACCUGCGCGCGCCAGAAGAUGUAAUUGUCCGACGACAACUUGAUGGUGAUGAGAUGGACGAAGUGAAACGGCGGUGGCGGCUGCGAUCCCAUCGAGGAGACUGGCUGAGGUGAGACCACCGUGGAGACAGUCAGAGGGGCAGCCGGCGCGGUGACAGAGGGCGCGAUGGCCGCGGUUGAUGCCGCGAAGCCUGCCAGCGCGACGUCCUCCGCCACCAGCGGCGUAGUGGCCGAGGGCGCGACAGCCGCGGUUGACGGGGCGGCGGCGGUGUGGGCCACAAGCGCCUGCCCGGGCGAAGUAGCAGCCGGCGGGAGCGCGAAGAGGGAGCCGACGCUCCGUGUCCCGAUCGGCGCCUGAAGGGAGGCGGCAUCCAACGGCCUCGAGAGAAGUGCCGCGAGGGAGGCCGGCAGAAAACCGGUGACGGUGGAGCCGGACGCAGCGGCGGACGUCAUAGCAGUCGGGCGACGGCGACGGCGGGCGCGGCGGCGGCGGCGGUGGCGGCGGCGGCGGCGGCGGCGGUUUAGGGUUUUUAGGCGGAAGCGGACGUAACCUAGCGUGAUACCAUGUAAGACAAUAGGCUUUGGGGGGAACCGGCACAACCCUCUAGGGGUGGCCUAUCAUAUAUAUAUAAUGAGGUGGUAUACAACGUUACAAUAUACACAUGUAAAUACAGUCUAACACAAGGGCCCUUUUCCCGUCCCCUUAUGAAACUUGUUCAUCAAUCCUCUUAAAGGAUCACACACCAAGGCGAAAGGCACCGCAGAUGCACGGCAGCGUACCUCAAGGAUCUUCAAAAGAUCACCUCUUCCCCUUUUUUAGCAUUUGUACACAACUUUCCCUUGUGCUCGGCAUGUAAAAUAGCCUUGAUGCUUAUCGGAUUAUCUGUUCAAAUACAUUUUGACGUAUCAAUCAGACUAUAAUGGAAACUAUUUUUUUGCCCAACCUAUUCGGUACUGGCUCCUUUCCUAAUCUGUAUUUCCCUCCUUUUCGCCUGAUAGUAAUGUACACCUCGGCACGACUUAAAUCGCCAGGGGCUCUAUUCAGCCACGCACAUCUAUCAACAAUAACAUAAGUCCUAACACUUCAUAUAGUACAAUCCAGCGCCCCGAAUAUAGCAUUAUAUGUGUUGGCUCCGAAUCAUGUCUUUGGUCAAUAGUUGGGUUGCCCGGCUCAUGUGGUUACUACCUUAAUUUCCGCUUGUUCGGCUAAGGUAGUAAAGGGAGAACUACUACGAUUGUGUUUAUGGCUCAUCGGGAUAAACACCUCAGUAGAGAAAGCCGAAAACUGACUAUCAUGAUGCGGCGAGAGCUGAUCAACUAUUCGGUGACUAAUUAAAAAUCUCUUGCGAUUUUUUCCAAAUUAUGAGACGAACCGGUCUUCACCGGGACAUGCGUCUAUAGCACCCAUGUUCGGACCAUCGAACAAUACCAGGGGCUGUGCCUACAAUCUUAUUGUCAAACUCCUAUGUCUAAGUGAGAGUGCUAAAGCCGCAUAGUCUGAUUGCCUGGUUCGUCGCACUAACACCUCCUUCAAGGACCAAGUCAUUUGGAUCAAGCGUGUUUUUGUGCUGUUCCGAACACCCCCGUACUACCUAUGCGAGGGGCUGAAGCCGAUGACUGGCCAACUCUCAGAUUCCAUAAACGUCCGCAAAGGAGGUAAAAUAAUUUCAGAUGAAACAAGAAAAUUAUUAUACAAACGACUUGUUUUCAUAAAUACAAAGUUUGGCCAACACAGAUACAAUCAUUCAAAAAAGAUGUCCUUCAAACACUGGCCCUCCACAAUGCGGGAUCCUUCCAGGACGUCAUUGAAAUACCGCUCCGACGUUUGGUGCUCCUUGCCAGCGGGCGGUCCCUCGGUUGCAAGAUUGGUGGCAUUCAUCUUCGCCCAGUGCACCUUGACACGGGCGAAGGCCAUCCGGGCACCUUCGAUACAGACCGAUCGCUUUAUAGCGUCAAGCCGUGGGCAAGCAUCCACUAGCCUCUUCACAAGACCAAAGUAGCUACUGGGUAUGGGUUCGGCUGGCCAAAGACGGACUAUAACAUCCUUCAUGGCUAGUUCGGCCACCCUAUGUAGCUCAGUCAGCUGUUUUAGCUGAUCACUGAGGGGCACAGGAUGCUCUGGCACAAGAUACUACGACCAGAACAGCUUCUCUGUUGAGCUCCCCUCUUUGGCUCAGAAGAAAUCCGUAGCAUCAGAAAUACUUCGGGGUAGAUCCGCAAACGCCCCUGGAGAACUCGAAAUGUGUGUGAGUAAGGUGUACUGUCUCCUUACAAAUUUUCUCUGCAUAUCAAAGGCCUUACCCGCCGCAAUCUGCUUGACCUCUCGGAUCUCCCGAUAGGCGUUUUGGGCUUCAACCCGGGCCUCCUUCGCACUUUGGAGCGCCGUAGCAAGUUUGGAGUCUCGAUCCAACACCGUGCGCUCCAAGGACUCACAUUUGCUUAUAGCAUCCGUGAGCUCUUGUUGGACUUCAUCCAACCUUGCUUCAUGUUUCCGGUGGGUGGCUCGCUCCUUGUCCGCCUCCUUCUUGGCCUCGACCAGUGCACUCUUGAGGGCCUCGACCUCAGAUGCAUCAACUAUGAGCAAAAUGAUAAAGCUCAUUUAAAUAACAAAUUGGAACUCAUAUCAUUUAAUAUACGCUUCGGUAUCACAUACCUUGCUUUUCCUCCAACUGCCGCUUUAGUUCGGAUAGUUCGGCGGCAUGCAAGGUUGCCGCUAGCAUCAAAGCAUGUUCAUCAAAAGAGACAUAUAUGUUAGCUCCUGCGAAGCAUUAUUCAAUCCUUUGUUCGGCCUUUCUUAGUGAACGCCGAACAGAGUCUCAGGGGCUACUAACUAUACACAUGCAUUCCUUAUGCAAACAGCCAAAAUAUGUCACGUCACAUACCUCAAAGCCUGUUAAAAGGCUGGUAUAGGCUUGGUUCAAUCCGUUUUUAGCAAUACCAAACCUUUUCAACCACCGUACCCAUAAGGGUACGGUGCUCCUCCAUGAUGGAGGCGCUCUGAAGCGCUUCCACAAGAGUGUCUGGCGCCUCCGGAUUGAUAGAGGAUGCUAGUGGAGAUGGCACGCCCCCUUCUUUCAAAGGAGGUUGCUCGCUCAAUUUCGGAGACAUAUGGGUCUCCGGAAUAAUAUUCGAUUGGGGGCCGAAUUGAGCUUGGCCCCCAUCGCCGGUCUCCAUGGGGUCGAUUUCCCCCUCUUUUCGGCAACAGAGGUAUUUCCCUCCGUCGCCACUGUUGAUAUGAAUUUUGACCAGGAUAAAAUGAAUAUAUAAACCACAUAAAAUAUAAAUUAAAAAUGGCAAAAAUCCAUUUUAUAAUGAGAACAAUCAAUUAAAAAAAUAUAAUGAAUCGCUCAAAAUGAGGACUGACAAAAAUAGGCAUAUGAUAUAUUUUCGAAGGUCGAUCAACUUUUCUCCUAUAUAAAAUGGAGAAUAGAUCGUUUAUAUGUACACACACCGUCGCCGACGAAUAUUGAUCUAAAAUUUCACCGUCAAAGACGACGCCAACAUUGUACAAGCAUCAUUCAGUAUGCUUCUCCAUUAAAAUAUCAUUGUAGCUUGACGAAUGCACACGAAAUACAAUUCGAUGGAAAAAGCCAAUAAUAGGACUGAUCCACUGCACACAAAAAAAAGGAAAGGAAAAGGACAAAAAAUCAAUUGGAUAGCAUACAUACAUGCAUGUGGUGUGCGUACAAGACAUAUGCCAUAUAAUCACACACCGCAAUUGGUUUCUUCCUCUUAAUCUUAAGCAUGCAUUAGGCUCCAAUUAAAAUAAUUAAAGUAAAAAGCCCAUACGUGCCUUGUAGCAGGGGCCCAUCUUUAGAUAGACCUUGAUCAAGGAAAGUCAUUAAACUAAUUGGGCCAGAGGGGCGAACCAACCUGUGGUUGGAUGGUUAGAGGAUUAUGGUAUCCCAGUCCAUCAGGGUCAAAUCUUGAUACUCGCAUUUAUUCUUAGAUUUAUUUCAGGAUUUCCGGCGAUGCACAUUCAGUGGGAGGAGACGUUCCCGUCGACGACGAGGUGUCUACAGUGACUUUGUAAAUUUCAAGAUGAUAUGCCGGCUCAGUCUUUCGGAGGUGCUCAUAAGGAUAGGGUGUGCGUGUAUGCGUUCAUAGGGUAAGUGUAUGCGCGUGUAUAUGAGCGCUUGCGUCUAUACUGUGUUAAAAAAAUUAGGCCAGAAGGCCAUGUGCGCUCCCGCCGAAGUCCCAUCAAUCAACUCAGGAGACCAAGUCUGCAACACUCCAUUUUCUUACCCACGUUCUACCAUCCAGCCACGCUCCCGCUCCCACGUCCUGCACGACAGUGACGUGCAGGUUGAUUCCUUGGCGCGCGCGGCAGCCUCCAAAGGCCACUGCUGCACACCCGCCCCUAUAAAUACCUCGCAAUCAGACUGCUCUAGGGUCAGCCCUUAGAUCGUUUCUCCCACUGCUAAAAUUACACACACAGGUACUUACAACACAUAAAAGCAUAGAGAGAAAGAAGAGGCAGGCGUGGUGCCUGCAGGAGGUGAGAAGGUGAGACUCAUGGCUUUCUUCUACCCCUAGUUUGGCUAUUGUGGUACAGACUCGGGAGCUUUCUUCUUCUUCCUCUCUCAAAAUUCUUGCCCUUAGUCCGGCCAUUGCGGUACAAACUAAGGAGUGUGUUACAUCCAUCUCAAACUUUUGUUUUUGGUUCGGCCAUCGCGGUACAAACCAAUGAAUUAAUGUUAUAUCCAUUCCAAACUUUUGCCUUCGGUUCGGACAUCAUGGCACAAAUUAAGAAGCAUGUUUCAUCUUCCUAAAAUUCUUGCCUUUGCUUCGGCCAUUGCGGUACAAACAAAGUGCAUGUUUAAUCUACAUAAAAAAUUCUCCAUGGUUUGGCCAUCGCGGUACGAGCCAAGGAGCAUGCAUGUUUCUUCUGCAUGUUGCAUAUGCUUCGUCCUAAUAAUCUCCUUCUUGGUUCGGUCCCCUUAGUGAUACAAGCCAGGACGAGCGUCUUGUUCUUUGGUUUGGUCCCUAUACACGGAUACAAAUCAAGAGAGUAUCAUAGGCACGAAAACUUCAUAAAAAAUGCCUUGAUUUGGUAAUCAUAAAAAAUGGAUAUGACUAAGUUGGAAUGAAAUUACGAACGUGCUAAACUGAACUCAUGAUAAACUCUUGUUUGGUUGCGCUACAGGCAUUAUGUGUCACACUAGUUGUAUUACAAACAAGAGCAUAAAAUAUAUUCCCCCGCUUGGUUACGCUGCACGCGGGCAUUACCUUAGUGCCACGCGGUGUUAGUAGUAAUACGAGCAGGGCAAAACUUAAUUAAAAAAAUGUGUUCAUGUUACACACCCAGAAACCAAAAUCAUGUAUGAUGAAUUAUAAAACAUGUUGCAUCAUAAAAACCAAUCUUACUUUGUUACGCUACACGCGGACAUUAUCUUAAUGCUACGCCAUGUUAGUAGUAAUACAAGUAAGAGAGAAGUAAACAGAAUAUUCGGGCCACAUAUUUUGGCCAAAGUCAAACAAAAUAUGUCAUGAAAUGCUCCAAUGCUAUAAGAGCCUAAACUAUUAGCAUCGUCAUAAAAGGAUAUCACAAACUCACUUUACUUGGGUUAUGCUAUACAUGAACGUCAAUGAAAUGACGCUAUGUGGAGUUAGUGUUAAUACCAUGCAAGGUACAAACAUAAACAAAAAUGAUAUAUGUCAUAUGACUCAUGCAACACCAUAAUUACUCCACAAACCUUUGCCUGGUUACGCUGUACGUGGGCAUUAUCUUAGUGCUACGCGGUGUUAGUAGUAAUACAGGUAAAGCAGAACUUAAUAAAAAUAGGUUCACUCCACAUCCACAUACAAAAUUCAUGCAAAAUACAUGAUAAGGGAUGUUCCAUGUAGCCCACAUAGGCUUUAAACAAACAAAAAUAUCAUAAGCAAACUACACUCACAAACUCCAUUCGGGUCAAGCUAUACGUGUGUCAUAUCAUUACACCGCGUUGUUAGUUCUGAUACCGUGUGAAGUCGAAAACAACAAAAAUGACACCUAUCACAUGCGCCAUAGAAAGCAUCAAGAUUGUGUCAGAAAGCUUCAGUCCGUUACGCUACACACGGGCACCACAUCAGUGUCACGCGAUGAUAGUAGUAAUGUGAUGAUGCGAAACUUAUUAAAAUUGGUAUGUAACAUAAAUCAUGCCACCAAAACCAAAGAUGUCAUAUAAAAUUUUCAAAGAAAAUAUAUACAUAUCCUAUAUGCCAAACGUAGGAUAAAACUAUGCCUAGCCAAAAUCAGCCUGCAUUCUGCAUAUACAUGAGGUUGAAUACACACAAAUGGUUGCAUGCUAGGAAAUAUAUUCCCAAACAGCACACAUGAAAUCAUAGAGGAGUAUUUGCAUGGAGCCAAACUUCAAGCUCACCAAGCAGGAGUUCAUCGUCGGCCACGAGGAGAAUUUCUCUUGUAGAUUAUUGUAAUAGGCAUGUGAUGUAAUCCUAUGUAAUAGAUAUGUUGGAAUUCUUAAUCAGGGGUUUUCUCUUCGGAGAUGUAAUUAACAGAAUUUUUAUGUAAAUAUAACAGUUCUGGAAAUAAUGUAACUGCAAUGUUUGAUUCUAUUUUUAUUUUAUGCAUUUAAAUUUCACUCUGUAUCAAUGAUGUGGAAGCGUAUUUUCACGCCCGCCAUUUUCCCGUCAUCAGCCACCUUCACGGCCUCCUGCACCUCCCCGUGACCUGGAGAGGUUCUUCGUGACAACACUUCAGUGUUGUCCGUAGCGGUGGGUGGAGAAACCUGCAGAGGAGAUUCGCUCUCCCUCGCGUUCGGCCCUAGCAAGUUCCCGGAUGACGAUGACCGUUGAGGGAGAUCACGAGUCGGGUUGCAACGCGCAAUUCAAUAUAUUAGAACUAUAAGGCAUAAAAUCGGAUAUAUGAACGGUGUCUUUGGAUACUUAUGAUCCAGCCAGGGGCUUUGGCCUGGGGUGCCACUCGGGGAUGGCUUCGGCAUCCGUUUCAGAGUCAUCCGAAAGGGAGGGUUUCCCCUUCUUGGACGCUUCCGCCUUUAGAUCCGUGGAAGCCGUCCUUUUCUUCUAGCCCCCUUAAGGGGAGAGUUGCUCUCCUCCUUCUCUACAUCUUCGUCAUGAGAGGAGGAGGUCUCGGUGUCUUCGGACACGACGUCCGAAGCACCCUUACGGCGGAGGCCACCUCUGGCCUUCUUGCCCUUUGGCCUUCUUCUCCGGCGCCUGAUACGGCACCGGAACCAGCAUCUUUGUCAGCAAAGAAGUGGCCUGGUCUUCGGGCAGCAUAGCCAGACAUUUGAUCUGCUCCACCUUCUUUGCCCAGCCCUGUGGGAGUAAGAAAGUUCAAUAUACUCCUUGUAUUUGCAAAUUAAAGUUAUCAUAAAACUUACAGGAGUGGCCAGAUGGGCGCAGUCGAGGCCGCGGUCUUCGGUUGUUUCCGGCCACAACUUUUGAGCCUUGAAAAGCAGCUUCCAUAUAUCUUCGUGCAUCGUGCCGAAGAACCGCUGCAGGGUCCGAGGACCGGUCGGGUCGAAUUCCCACAUAUGUAUAGUCCGUCGUUGGCAAGGGAGAAUCCGGCAAAAAGGCAUCACCUGGAUCACGCUGGCAAGACUGGUGUUCUUGUUUAUCAUACCCUUGACGCGGCCCUCCAGCGUCGUCACCUCAUUGGGCGACUCCCAAUCUAGGCCCUUAUUGAGCCAGGAUGUAAGCCGCAUUGGGGGCCCGGACUUGAACUCAGGAUCGGCGACCCAUGUGGCAUGACGGGGUUCCGUGAUAUAGAACCACCCAUGCUGCCAUCCCUUGACAGUCUCCACAUAUGUCCCCUUUGGCUAGGUGACGUUGGGAAAUUUGUUGACCAUGGCGCCGCCGCACUCCACAUGUUGGCCUUCAACCACCUUCGGCUUCACAUUGAAGACCUUGCACCAUAGGCCAAAGUGGGGAGGUAUGCGGAGGAAUGCCUCACACACGACGAUAAACAACGAAAUAUUGAGGAAGGAAUUUGGGGAUAGAUUGUGAAAAUCUAACCCAUAAUAAAACAUGAGACCGCAGACGAAAGGAUGAAGGGGAAACCCUAGCCCGCGAAGGAAAUGAGGGAUGGACACUACCCUCUCAUUAGGCUCCGGAGUGGGAAUGAUCUGCUUUUUGGCAGGGAGCCGGUGGAUUAUGUCCGUGGCCAGGUACCCACCAGCUUCCCGGAGGUCCUUGAUGUUCUCUUCUAUAACAGGGGAAGCCAUCCACUUGCCCUGCGCCCUAGAUCCGGACAUGGCUGGGUUGUUUGGUGGCGAUAGAAAGGAUUGGAACUUGGGUGCUGGACCUCGAAGGGCAGACGGGCUGAGGAGGAAGAAGGCGUGGGGUAAAAAGACGAAUCCUUAUCUUCUUAUAAAGGCAGUGGAUAUCAAGCGUCCCCUCCUAAGCCUUAAAUCUCGCCUAUUCCCAAGGGGGCGUGUGGAUGGCACUGUUGGAUUACCCAAACCCCUUUUGAUGAGAAUCCCGUGAUAAGGGGACACGAUCUCUGCUUUGACAAGACGUGUCAAUAAUCGUGCCUCGAAACACGAAGCGGGGGCUGUAAAACGGUUCGGGAUACUAACAAGGCCAAGACAUAACGCCUCGUCGGAAAAAUUGCCUAUGGACGUGACUUACUUUGUUUUGAAUAUUUUUGCCCUUACAGCUCAAAGUUGUAAUUAUUGAACAGAGCCGAAUACAACUAUUAUGUAUGAAAAACUUCUUAGGAGUAUUCGGAGAAGGAACCGGCCUUGCAAUGCCGAAGACACUCUGUGCACCGGAUACUUCGCCAUUGAAGCCCGGUUCAGGGGCUACUGAGGGAGUCCUGGACUGUGGGAUCCUCGGGGAGCCGGCCUAUGUGACAUGGGCCAGACUGAUGGGCCGUGAAGAUAUGUGAUAGAAGGCCUUCUCCCGUGUUCGGAUGGGAGUCUCCUUUGCGUGGAUGGCGAGCUUGGCAUCCGGAUGUAUAGUUUCCUUCCUCUGUAAACCGACCUUGUGCAACCCUAGUUCCCUCCGGUGCCUAUAUAAACCGGAGGGCUUAGUCCAUAGGCAGAAUCAUAACCAUACAGGCUAGACAUCUAGGGUUUAGCCAUUACGAUCUCGAGAUAGAUUAACUCUUGUAACCCCUAUACUCAUCAAAGUCAAUCAAGCAGGAAGUAGAGUAUUACCUCCAUUAAGAGGGCCCGAACCUGGGUAAACAUUGUGUCCCUUGUCUCCUGUUACCUUUGAUCCUUAGACGCAUAGUUCAGGACCCCCUACUCAAGAUCUACCGGUUUUGACACCGACACUCGGACCCAACAAUUUGAUCCAUUCGGUGCCACCGAGUUCACUUGACAUAGCCACUGCCAGAAAACCUAAUCAGUUCGAUCUCACCGCUGGGAUCUCGGUCUCACCGACAUGACCUUGCAAACUCUGUGUUACCUAUUGCAGUUAUUUCGGUCUCACCGAGAUACGCAGUCGGUCCCACCGAGUUUGCUUGACCAAGUCUCUGUUUGCUUAUUGCUGAAACCGGUCUCACCGAGUUCACGCAAUCAGUCUCAUCGAGAUGAGGUUUUGCCCUAACCCUAGCACAUAGGUCCCACCGAGUUGACCUUGUCGGUCCCACCAAAAUGCCUAACAUUCACAUUUUGAACCAAGUCAGUCUGACCGAGUUAACCCAUUCAGUCCCACCGAGUUUGGGAAUUUGUGUGUAACGGUUAGAUUUUGUGUGGAGGCUAUAUAUACCCCUCCACCCCUUUCUCCAUCUGUGAGAGAGCCAUCAGAAUGUGCCUACACUUCCACUACUCAUUUUCUGAGAAAGAAUCACCUACUUAUGUGUUGAGACCAAGACAUUCCAAUCCUACCACAAGAAUCUUGAUCUCUAGCCUUCCCCAAGUUGCUUUCCACUCAAAUCAUCUUUCCACCAUAGCUAAAUCUAUGAGAGAGAGUUGAGUGUUGGGGAGACUAUCAUUUGAAGCACAAGAGCAAGGAGUUUAUCAUGAACACACCAUCUAUUACCUUUUGGAGAGUGGUGUCUCCUAGAAUGGUUAGGUGUCACCUGGGAGCCUCCCUCAAUAUUGUGGAGUUGAACCAAGGAGUUUGUAAGGGCAAGGAGAUCGCCUACUUCGUGAAGAUCUACCCUAGUGAGGCAAGUCCUUCAUGGGCGAUGGCCAUGGUGGGAUAGACAAGGUUGCUUCUUCAUGGACCCUUCGUGAGUGGAGCCCUCUGUGGACUCGCGCAGCCGUUACCCUUCGUGGGUUGAAGUCUCCACCAACAUGGAUGUACGAUAGCACCACCUAUCAGAACCACGCCAAAAAUCUUCGUGUCUCCAAUUGCGUUUGCACACUCCAAUCCCAUCCCUUUACUUUCUUGCAAGUUGCAUGAUUUACUUUCCGCUGCCCAUAUACUCUUUGCAUGCUUGCUUGAAUUGUAUUGUGAAUGCUUGAAAUUGUGCUAAUUUGCAACCUCAACUUGAAAAACCUAAAAACUGCUAUAUUUACUUGCUGAGGGUCUAAUCACCCCCCUCUAGACACCUCUUCUCGAUCCUUUCAAGAACCCUAGACUGCUGAUUUGAAGAAUAAUCGUCGAAUUUCUCAAAGAAUCUCCAACUUAAUGUGACGUUACUGCCUCUCUGCCAAAUCUGAGUUCUCGUGAAUCAAUACCAUUCCUGCCAGUACUACCUCCUCCUUUCUGGUAUCCAGCGAGUGUUGCUCCUACACUUCCAUUUCCACAGGGAUCCUGGUGUGCAACACUGACAAAUCGAUCCAGAAUUUGAGAGGAAGAGUGGCACCCGGGUCGUAGGCAGGGGCAUUGAGAAAAAUGGAGAUCACAAGCGUGGUAGCUUCCCAAAAUCCUUCCACUGCUCUCUUUGGAUUGGGGAUUGGGAUACCGCCUCACCGCUGCCCACUCUAGUACCCGGUCCAAUGAGAUCGGUCUGCUGCUCGCAAAAAAUCACGUCCGCUCCCAAUGAGGUUCGCAUUACCACCUACACGACUAAAUUGUGCCUUGCCUUGCCGGUCGCCCCCUUCUACAGCAUCCUCGCCUGCCUCUAUGUCGAGAUAAGGAGACCUUGUUGAUACCAAUUGUAGGAUCGAGAGUAUAUCGACCAGAGAGGGAUGAAUGAGAGAUUUAGAAUUUCUUUCGAAACGUCAAAUCUCUCAAGAUAAUGGAGUGGAAGUAAAACUACAACAGAGACACUUAAACUAAAUUGGGAUAGGCACAUGGAGAAAAAUAGGCUAAACUAGAAGACUAAGCAAAACUUUUGAUGAAAGCAAUGAUAAUCUUUCUAGUAUAGUGACAUAGUCACGAUGACAAUGGAAACACAUAAAGGAAACAUGAUAAACAUAGAUAAACAAUUAUGAACAAUAUAGAUCGCAAAACAUAAACACUUUACUGAGAAAUGUUCAUUAGAGCAAGACUCGGCUGAGUGACAAAGUAACACCAAAGAAUGAACAAACGAGCAUACAAACAGAUAACUUUGAGCACAACAAUUAAAAUAUACUAAAUAACACAGCCAUGGAACAGAUAAUAAGCCGAGGUGGAUAUAUGAUCAGUGAGAUAUCUAUCGGAACACAAAGCACUGAAAAUGAACUAUUGAAGGUAUUGCAGUAGAAUAGAAGUGACCAGUGGUGCUUGGCGACAAAUGAUUUGGUAGACGAGUUCGCUACAAAAGAGUUACGUCUGGUUGGAGGGACUUGUGAUUGAACACAGGAGCAGACGUCUCUCCACCCCAUCCUCCGUACCUUUUCUUGACUUGUUUUGUUUUGUUUUUUCUUUCUUUUUCUAUUUCUUUUCUUCGAUGUCUUUCCUUUCUUACUUUUCUUUUUCUUUUAUGUUUUCAAAGUGCACGAAUUCUUUCAAAUUCGAUGAUUUGUUUUUUUCAAAUUGUAUGAACUUUUUUUACAUUGGUGAUCUUUUUUUCAAAAUAGAUGAACUUAUUUGUUAAAGUCGAUGAACUUUUAUCAAAUUUGCGAGCAUUUUCUAAAAUUGAUGAACUUGAUGAACUUCUCUCAACAAGAUCAAAACUUUUUUUUUCUAAAUUGAUAAACUUUUUAAAAAUUACAAACCUUUUUAAAUUUUGUGAAGUAUUUUUAAAUUCACAAAUUUCUUUCAAAUUCGUAAAGACUUUUUCCAAACUCAUGAACUUUUUUAAACUCAUGUAAUUUUUAAAACGUAUGUUCAAUUUUUGAGUUCAAGAUCCCGUUGAAGGCGCGGAUUAGGAGCUCCCGUGUUCCCGUUGAUCUGAGCUAAAAAUGAAGUAUUAGACCCCGCACAUUUCAAUCAACGCAUGGACUAGCCCAUCAUGGUACCUGCAGACUAAAGCCCAGUGCACCGAGCCCACGGGACCGUUCAACCAUCGGGCAAAUCGAACCACGGCCAGGACCUCGUACGUAUCGCCAGCCGGGCACAGCGACACCGCGCCCGCCGCGCCAGCACAGGUGUCGCGGCGCGCCCGACACGAGUGCUCGCAUGCGUCCCACGCGGCCGCUCCAGCUCCGGCCUCCUCCACGUAACACCAUGCGCCGCGCUCCUCUAUAACCUCACUCCCCUCCCCUCGCUCCCUUCACUCACACCGAGCGUGCUCCGGUAGUGCCCCUCCCUCCACACGUUCCUUCCUUCGCAUGGCUGACCACCACAGAGACAGGGGUGUCCUAGGCGGCGGCGGCGCCUUCGGCGACCGCAGUGGCCAUGGAGGCUACGGCGGCGACCACCACGAGCAGCACCAGCAGAAGCAGCCCGCGCUGAUGUGCGCCCUCAAGGCCGCGACGGCGGCCACGGCCGCCGGGUCGAUGCUGCUGCUAUCCGGGCUGAUCCUGGCAGGCACCGUCAUCGCGCUCACCGUGGCCACUCCCGUGCUGGUCAUCUUCAGCCCGGUGCUGGUGCCGGCGGCCAUCGCGCUGGCGCUCAUGUCCGCCGGCUUCGUGACGUCCGGCGGGCUGGGCGUGGCGGCGCUCUCCGUGUUCUCGUGGAUGUACAAGUACCUCACCGGCAAGCACCCGCCGGGCGCCGACCAGCUGGACCACGCCAAGGCGCGGCUCGCGUCCAAGGCCCGCGACAUCAAGGACGCCGCGCAGACCCGCAUCGACCAGGCGCAGGGGGCUUGAAGAUGAGGUGCGUGCCCCGACGCGCGGCCGAUGCGUGGGUGAUGAACGAUAUAGCGUACGAUUGCUGAUCCGUGCGCGCGUUUGAUCGCCGCCGUGCCCGCCGAGCGAGCAAGUCGACGACGUUUACCACCUGUUGUGCUAUCCGACCGAGUGCGUGUUUAGACUUUUGUUGUGAACUAGUUGUUCUCGUCCUAGUACUCUAGCAGUAUGUUUCCGUGGUCGAAGUCGGGAGAGGGUCUGGAUGCUGGAUGUAUGGUGUGUGCUUGUGGAUGUCUCUGCGUUUAUGAUGAAUAAAUUGCCAAGUUAGGGCGAAGUGUGCAA
Molecule: long non-coding RNA, 59161 nt
Filed under: Triticum aestivum (bread wheat)
Lineage: Eukaryota; Viridiplantae; Streptophyta; Magnoliopsida; Poales; Poaceae
Description: long non-coding RNA (TAES_LNC022950)
Source: RNAcentral